RNAcentral lists this long non-coding RNA (62616 nucleotides) under Sorghum bicolor (sorghum). RNAcentral describes it as "long non-coding RNA (SBIC_LNC007271)". The stretch from base 53413 to 53608 matches the Rfam family "U2 spliceosomal RNA". The record is from RNAcentral. Lineage: Eukaryota; Viridiplantae; Streptophyta; Magnoliopsida; Poales; Poaceae.
CAGCCGAGCACCGUAGCGGGUGCCUGUUGCUCCAGCUUGGGAGGGCUAAAGAGUUGGUUGGAGGGCGAGUUUGCUCGAGCCCAUGUCAAUGCCGGCCCACCGAAAGGCAUGUGGUGCGCAGUCCCCGCCCGGACGUCAGAGAAAAAGGUGCCAGCGCGGCGCAGAGAAAAGAAGAAACAGAGCCCACAGCUGCUGUUGUUGUGAGGUGCUGCGGGUCCUGGGCCCGGCGCCAAGGUGCGCUGUCCGUCGUUGUUGGGUGCAGCCCUGUGUAGGCCACAAGGAGUUGUGAGCCGGGCUGACCUGUGUUGAAGAGGCCCGUUAGGAAGAACGGGUGCUCUUGUUGGGCCGUUGUCACUGCGAGGAGGCAGUCCGGCCGGUCGACGAGAAAAGCACUUGGGCCGUUGUUGAAGGAGGCAGACCAAGACCACAUCAGAGGUGUUGGUGGUGCGCGCGCGCGCACGUAGUUGGGCCAUCGCCGGAGGGGGAUAUUGCCCUCCGGCGGGUCGUCGCUGUGGUAAAAAGUUGUUCGAUGCUCUGGGGGGAUUCGUCGUGGGCUGCUGAAUAGGGGGUGUGGCAUUGGCCCGGGAGGCCGGCAAAUGCCGGCGGGUUAAUUGGGUCCGGGGGUUCGCCCCUCGGCCCGAAGCCCCUUGAUCUCGCCGAGCUGGGCUUCCACGGAGUUAGAGCGGCAAAGGGGUUGAGCCAACCCUCAGUCCGAGGGUUGUCGCCGGGCUGUGCGCGCCACACGCGCAGCCCGCUUCGUGGAGCGUGGGCUCGCAAACUAUAUCCCCUCCUACCAACUCUUUUGUUCUUCUGUUUUUUUUUUCUGAAAAGGAUAUAAUUCUGAACAGUGGCUUCUAUUUUCUUUGGUACUGCUUUGUACUGUAUGUGAAUUAGAUCACUAUUGGUUUACAAUAAACAAGUUAGUACUCCUUCAAAAGAGGCUGAUCAUUGCCGUUGAUGGGCCGGCCUCAUCAGCAAUAGCUGGCGGGGGUCCUGUGUUUGUUGGCCGUUGUGACAUGGUGCAUAACUAGUUUGUUGCAGUGCAAGUACGAACCAUGCGGACAGCCGAGAAGCGAGAGCUUCAUCAGGUGCCACUAGUGUCUGAUGGCAUUAAGGGGUUGGUGCGAUAAUCUCCCAUUUCACCAAGUUAGGUACGAUAAUGUCUCAUUUCACCAAGUUAAAUAAAAUAUAUAAAAUUUUAGCUAAGAAAUACACUUAUAACUGAAUUGACACUAGCUAAGCUAUGACAGUUGCAGGCAUUGGUAAGCUACCGUAGUUCUAUCGAGUCCUCUUCUCUGUUCAGCCUCCAAGCCACAUUUUUGGUCGUAUAUAUACAGUCAGUAUAUGUACUGUCAGUGCACAACAGCCAGUAGGCAGGUACAAAAAGAGCCGUGAGCGACAUGCCCACAAGAAGAUUAGCGAAAGCGCGCGCAGACUAAAUGCAUUCUCGCACUCUGUCUCUGCAAACCAAGCGCUCCGUUUUAGUCCCAUACCGCUAGUCACAUUCUGAGCAACCCAGCUUAAGAAGCCACACCUCCCCGGGGGCAGCCGCCGAGCUCGGUCGCGCGAGCCUGUCACUCUAGUCAGCUGGAGGGCUAAAGAGUUGGUGUGGUGAAAUGGCUCUGGCCCCGGCCCAAAAACGGGUUCGGCCUCUGCCUGGGUUGUGAGUUCUUGAGCCUAGGAAAUUGGCGAGGUCCAUCCGUCCUUUGAACGGUAGGGCAAAGCCGAAUCGUUGGACGCUUCGGCAUAAGAGAACGGUCGGCCCAACGGGGUUGCCGGAGCCCAAGCUGCGUCUCGUCAUGUGUCCAUCCGGGUGGUCAAGGGAGGCAACAACCCACUCCCUGAUCUUUCCCAUUAAGGUAAUCGGGACUCGCAUGGACACUCCCUGGCUCACUCACUAACCCCUCCCAUCAACUCUUUUCCUUUUCUUACUUUUGUCCUAACGUUCGAUGGCAGUUUUAUCAUUGAUAUAAUCGUUUUGGGCUAGGCCUAAAUUAAUCUGUCUGGAUGUUUUCAGAAAUGCACUGCUCUUUCAGGUUCAGUGCAACAAUCAGCAGUCUUGCAUGCUAUACUGUGUUGUAUAUUUAUCCUGUGCUACACUCACAUCUUUCGUUAGUUAAUUUAAGGUUUGCGAACUUCAAAGAUGAUUGCUCAAGGUAUAAAGCACAGAAUUUGAACUUUGUUCAGGUUCUGCCUUUUUGGUUUUCGAAACACACCUAAUAUUUACAUGCAUCUCUACAUAGAGAUGAUAGUUUUUAUUUUGUACCUGAAAUCACACAAAAAGGAAACAUAUAUUUUCCUGGGCACCCCAAAAAUAAAACCUUUAAUAUCCACUCAAAAAAAACAUGGUUCUUAGUCUAAGGCUACACCUGCUGAUUAUCCAGAUAGUUGGAUUUUGUAUAGUUGUUAUGAAUCACGACUUGAUCAUUAUAAUCCGCGCGCACUGAUACACUUCUUUUUAAACCUCUAAGGUCAGUCUCAGUGGAAGUUUCAUCUGAGUUUCAUUCACAUUAAAUAGGUUGCCACAUAUGCAUUUUCGAUGGCAUGCAGUGUAUUUAAGAAGAGAGAAGAAAUGAGUUUCAUCUAGAUGAACACGAUUAUCUUCUCUAUGAGUCUUGAAUAUGAAACCAUAGAAUGAAACUCUCCAUUGAGAGUGGGUAUUUCAUCCAAGUUUCAUUUCAUUUCACAUAACAUGGCAAUCUUGGAAAUAACACUAUGAAACUCUUCACUGAGAUUGGCCUAAUAUAUUUCAGUAUCCUAUGACUUUUCUUAUGUAGGGCCUGUUUAGUUUCUCAUUUGGGCCAAAAAAAUUAUAUUUUGGUCCACCAUUAUGCUGAAUGGAACUAAACAACAUCCAAAUUUUUUGGCAAAAUGAUUUUACCAUUUUGCAUUCUAGAUUUUAGCCUCGAAAGCCCUCCAAAAAAAAGCCAAAAUAGCAGCUUAAUGUAUUUUAGACCCUGAAAAUUUUGAUAUUUUGGAUGAAGCUAAACAUACACAUGAAAAAAUUGACAUUUUGCAUUUCAUCAUUUCAAAAUACUUGGUAUUUUGUAUUUUGCAUUUCAUGAGGAACUAAACACACCCAUAUUGUGGUUUCCUUUACCUAAAGUAUUGUUCAGAUGCUAACAUACAGUAGUUGUGGGGCAUUCCCACCACCAAGAUUUUACUCAACAGUGUAAUGCUUACCAGUUACCAGAAACACAAACAGAACGGAGGACAUGAGACGGAAAACAACGAUUCAGAAAACUAGGCUACACGAUGCAGUACAUGGUUGUAUGUUACUGUCCUUGUUAGCUAACAUAUAUACCUAUCCAAUCUGCGCUUUGCAAGUUGAACAGCGGUAGUGUACUCAUUGAUACUGCGGUGCCAUCUAGUUCUUGCCUGCUCAAGGCGUGGUCUGUGGUAUAGGAUCCUGGUCAGUGUGAAAUCCAGCUUAGCUGGACCAUAUCUUGGUUUGUCCUCCGCAUCUCACAGUUAUUCCUUUUUGCUUUUCUUACUGGACUUAGUAAAGUUUGACAAGCAGGUGAUUGCUAGAAGCACCACAGCAACGGCAAAAACUGCAGGGAAAAAAAAUAGGGGAAUUACGAAGAUAUCCAAAGGUCCAACGCAAAACAUCUACAAGGGGGAGGAGCAACAAUGUAGAUUUAUAUAUAUGGUUAGAAUGAUUGAGAUGGAUGUGAGUAGCAUACCAGCUAUGGUGACAAAUAACAUCAGAGCAAGCCGGUAUCGUAUUAGCCAUGGGAGCUCUGUUUCGAGAGUACAGUGACGUUGGAAUGUAUGUGGUUGUCUUUUGAUUGCGUGCACACCCGAGGGCUGCAGUUCAGAUAUAGGGAACUCUACACUGUGAACAGAACGACCCUCAACAUCUUUUAGUUCAAGUUUAAUCCGGGGAGGUACAGCAUUCCAAUCAAUUUCAAUUGCUCCGAAAUUUGGUAGGCCUGCAACAGCAAAACACAAAUGAUUUAACAGUACAAGUAUAACCAAAACUUCGCUAAAAAAAAGUAUAACCAAAAAAGAACACAGAAGGAAAUAAGAUAAGCAUAGAGAAAUCUUAGCAAUGCCUUAAGAUGUCGUAUGAUCACAUUUUACAGUAUAAAUGAACCGCAUUUUUUUGGAGAGUUUUAAUUUUGUCCAGAAUCAACAGCUUACUGGUUCAAAAAGAACAGAAAGGACCUCUUGAUCUUAAAAAACUAAGAAAUUCAGUAAACCAAAACAAGCUAUCCGACACUGAUGGAUUCAUACUUAAAAGGUUCUACCCAAGAAAGAGUUGUACCUGUUGUGCAUGAUUUAUACAGGCAAUUUGGGCUCAAAACUCGCAUGGUAGUUGGUGUUAGUACUGCUAGAAGUCUCAUAAGAGGUUGAAAUACUUCUGGCACAGCGUUGUCGACAGACUGGGUAAGACCACUCGAAGUAACAUCGUACGACGGGUAUUGAGCUCCACAGUCGAAUCUGGUGAUUUCUCCGAAAUGGACAUCCCCACUAAUAAAUAUCACUCCAGGUCUCUGCAAAUAGUCACACAGUCCAUAGAUGUUUCAUAAGAGUAAUGAACACAUAAACAUCUGGUAUCAUGGUAUCUUCUAGAAGACUCAGGAUUCCUCAAAAGUUAAUUGAAGGAGAUAUGCUAGCAACUAGUGCAUUUUAUUAUUUACGGAAACGCUUAGACCCUGAAUAAUAGCUUGUCCACAGGAGUAAUAGUAACCAACCUUACUACUAUCAAUCAAUCUGAACAGCCUUUCUCUCUCCCUUGGGAAGCGUGCCCAGGACUCCACAUAGAACAAAGGCCCAAUAGUAGCUGAAAGAUUAGACACUACCUGUACAUUGGAACAUAGCUAUUAUACAAAUGGAAGUUACAAUGCAUAUAGCAUAUAAAAAAAUGAAAGAAAAUGCAAUUGCUUAUUAUAGUGAAAGCAUUAAGACAUAAAAUAUAGAGUGAUGAAUCAGUAGGAUAUUCUCUGCCCAUUGAAGAGCUGCCAAAUAGGUGAAUGUAUUAUUCAAAUUCCGUUACCAAAUACAAUCACAUGUAUCAUCUGUUUUAUUUGAGGGAAAAACAGCCUACCAAAUAAUACCAGAUAUUUUAUACUAUCACUAAAUAAAACUUCUGGUAAGGUGCAUUUCCGUAUACAGAUCUCUGACAUUGUAAAAGUUUGUGAAGUUUUUUCAAAACUUCUAUGCAGCCCAUUAGUGGGAAACUAAGGUGGCUUUUGCUGUGAAAACUUGUGGUAUAUGAUUUCUACCUGACCAUCUUUGGUUCCUGGCUAGAUUAGUUUUUGAUUUUUUGAAGUACAGUUUUUUAAGUUUUCAACAAGUAUAUAUAUACGUGGUUACUUCUCCAAGUAUAUAUAUACGUGAAAUAAUAGGUUUACCUGGAUCGAAGAUCCAAUGAUGGUGAUCUCUGAUUGAGGACCAUGAAGCUCCCUCUCUAGCCACUGCCACUGGGGAUCUCCCAGAAUAGUUCCAUCACUUAAUAGCGGGUCUCUGUGAUAUCUGGUAUCCAGCAAGAUUACCUGCAAUACAUUGCUGUUACCUUUAAUUCAAAAUUGAUAAUAAAAUACAAUUUACUACAGAAGGGGCAAAGGCACUAGUUCAUAUUUCUUUUUAUUUAGCCCGGAUGGAUGACCAUUCUAGACCUUAUACCAGCUUUAUGCCCAGUACCACCUGUGGAUACUUGCAACGGCUACUGGGAUGAUGAUUUACAUUGAUUGGGACAUGCAAAGAUGUAACAUAUGUGUAUGUUGUAGGGAUGUACUAAACUUAAUAGGGCAAUAUCCGAUGUAAAUUGGAUAAAUAUCAAAUAUCCAUAAAAAUUAAAGAUGUAACAUAUGCGUAUGUUGCGAUGUACUAAACUUAAUAGGCCAAUAUCUGGUGUAAAUUGGAUAAAUAUCAAAUAUCCAUAAAAUUUUUAUGUGAAGUUCUCAAAGUUUACAUAUAUAAGAGGAGAACAUGCUCUAUAUCACUCAAAAAUUUGAACCUAAGGCUACCAGAUAUCAAAGGGGGAAACAGUAUAGCAAUGUGUCGCACUGUUCAUAACUGUUUUUUGGUUUACAAGAAAUAUGCAUUUUUUGUCUUUGUAUCCUGCAAACAUAAUUGACCUUGAUCUUUAAUUUUGCCCAUUAUCUAUUGUUGAACACACACUUUCCUAUUGUUUUUAUCUUGAGAAUCUCUAAAAUACAAAGCAAUGAAUGGAUUCAAAUUCACAAAGUAGCAAGUUAUUGAGAACUUGGACAUCAUUAAAUACAAAGGAUCAAUUGCUGUGAAAAUUUUGCAUUCAAUGAACAAAUAACGAAGCCAAAACAGAGCUAAGGAUAAUCAGAAGAGAUACAUGAUCCAUUUUGUGAAUUUGUUUUGAAGGAAAUUUUACUAGACUCAUAAUAAUGAAAAAAAAAGGAGAACAUAGCAAAGACUUAAAGAAUCACUGCAUCAUGAGUACGAUGAUGUGUUAUAUCACCCUAUUUGAAAAAGAAAUUAGAUAAACCUUCUCUAGUUAACAGCAAAAUUGAACAUAACAUAAGAGAGACUAAACCUUCACACGUUUUCCUUCAGGGCCAAACAUGUACGAGGCAUAAACACCAGCUUGCUUCCUCCUAAACAAACAACAAUAGAGUAUUAAAUUAUCAGGCAGGGAGAUUUCUUCCCUUGUUGACCGUUAAAAAAUGAAUAAGAUUAUUAUGAGACAUCUGCGGGAGUAUGUCUGUAUGUAUGCAGAUCCUGAAACUCAAACAGAAAUGUCUGGUCACAUCCUGGAAGAAGACUUUAAUGUUACUGUGACCACAAAAGUAACAAGGAAAUAACAUUAGAGCGACAAUGGCAAUAAUAUUUUAUCCUAACAUAAACUCCAAUAAAGAAAUAAACUACAAACAAAUGAAAAAUGGAAGAAAUUUACCAGAAAGUUGAUACAGCUAUUGAACUGGAGUAUAUAUGUUAUUACAGAACAGAACAAGAGCAGAGAUUUAAGGAACAUGAAAGGAUAUAAGAAAAUUAAACAGAUGUUUGAGUGUCCAAGUUUAAAAAUGAAUUCCCCAAGUAAUGUGGUGUUGAUGAAAUGCAGUAUCUCCAGUGAAGGAUGCUGUUUUGUAAUGAGGAAAAAUAGGUAGUGGGUUGGGUGUGGACACAAGUAUGUGAGACAGGUUGUAGGACAAUGCUUUAAAGAAAACAAAUCACUUGCCAAUGUACUCGUUUUGAAUUGAAUUAACAAACAAUAACUACACAGCAUAAAAAUGAAAAAAAAAAAAGAUUAACUCCAGUGCUUCUAAGUGCAUACCGUUUACUGUCUUCAGGUUCAUCCAAGAAAUCUAAGAGAAGCCUUUGAGUAAUCACUUUCCGAUUAAACUCUUUUCCUGCAUCAUUCAAUCCAUAAUCAUGGUCAUCCCAUGUUCCAAUAACCUGCAAUUAGUGAAUUUCAGUAGUGACACCACACCAGUUUCUCAUCUUUCAGAAGAGGAAAGAAGAAGCAGUGUUGAAAACUGUCAAUAAACUGUAAUAAACGAAGAGACAAAGAUGACACCCUAGCCCACAAAUGGAGAUUAAAAGUCUAUCCAAAAUGCUUUCUUCUCUGCCAUAGAACCAACUCGGGAGUGGGGACUGGGGUGUGGAGUGCCAUAGAACCAAUCCAUAUAUUCGAUUUUAUGUACGUUUGUCAUUAUUGUAAUGCUGUAUCAUCAGCAUAUCCAUGCUACAUCUUAUUGUAGUAUCAAUCAAUAUAACCCUCAAAUCCCAUGAGGCCAUGACACGAAAGCUGACAAAGCAAUUAGUCAGGAGCAGCUGCGAUCGUCCAUGAGGGGAAGAAAGCAAAGGAGGCCAGGCCUGACCUGAGCGGUCUCCCUGAGCCUGGCGUACCCGGGCUGCGCCCUGGCGAGCUGGUACCGCCUCCGCAGCUCCUUCUCGGUGGAAGGGUAGAAGCGCGGCGCGUUCUUCCAGGGCCCCACGGUGCGCUCCUUUCCGAAGACCCGGAAUGGGCGCUUGUUGUCGCCGUAGACGUUGUCCCCGAGCCAGACGAACACCUGCGGGUCGAACCCCACGACGGCGUCCCAAAUGGGCUGCACGAAAGUACGAAACAAUCCCCGUCACAACGAAUUGAUCGAAAUGGGAAUGGGAUGCGCGGGCAUGGCGCCGGCGUGGGGCGUUCCGUCGACCACCUGGGGCUCGCUCUGGUUGGCACAGGAUCCGAAGGCGAUCCUGGACACCACGGCGUCGGGGUCGGCGCGGGCGGAUGAGGACAGGAUUAUCAGGAGGAGGAGGGAGAGGAGAGGGAAGGUGGCCGCCAUUGCGGGUAGGGAGAGCGACGUACGAGCAAGCGAGCACACGGCAGGCAGCGGGCGAGACGAGACGAGACGGCGAGGAGGAAUUCUCAAUUGCGGGAGGUUGGCAGGAGAGAGGUCAGAGGUGGGAUGGAUAUCCCAAUUUCCAAGGCGCCGGAUCCCAGGCAGGAGAGGCCGAGCCGAGGGAGAGGUGGACGUGUGGUGGUGGGGGCGAUGCCGAUGGCGAUGGCAGGCGCAGACGCACGCUCUAGAAGAGAGAGCGAGGAAGAAAAGCUGGAAGCUCCUUGUUUGUUUGGCCUCACUUUUUCACCAGUUUCGUUUUAAACUAAUUAUAUAUAUAUAUAUAUUAAUUAAUGCGGUGGAAUUGUGUGGAAAACUACGUGCGGUGGUGUUGCUCCUCUUCUAACCAUUCCUUGGUCAACAAACCACGCGACACGCCGUGAUGAUGUUUCUAGAUAGAGACAACAACAUGCAGGGAUUUGCAAAUGUACCUAUAUAUGCUGUUGCUAGCAAUUCGGGAUUUGGAAAUCGUGUGGUUCGUCAAGAACAAAAGACAAGGGGAUUGCAAAUCCUGCUUCAUUGUGAAUUGAUGAUCAUGUCUUUGCUUGCCUUACGACCUGUUGCGAGAAGGAGAGACUUGGUUGGGACGAAACUGCAGCAGCCUUUCCGGCAUUUGCAAAGGAUGGGAGCCAAAAAGGCGUGAUCCGGAGUGAAAAGGGCUGCCAACUUGCUCUGCCUAAUUUACGUUUCGCCUUUUGCUUGGGAACUUUGCCACAUGUGCUAGCAAGUUUGCCGCAAACUGCGAAAGGCAUCACGUAACGUUGCUGUUCAAACUGAAGUUUCCAUUUCGAGCUCGAAUAUUUCCAGAGCUGUCACGUCUGUGUUAAGCAGAGAUAAGCUAUCUUUUGCAGGGGAUCAGAACAGUACUCAUUCACUACCAUUGCAAUUAACAUGAGAGAACCUACCUCGGCACGUGGAGCGCUGAGCUUCAGCACGAAGCAAAUUAUCAGACUUUAAUACUUUAUGAACGCUGCAAAACCAGCCUGAGGCAUCUGAUUCCAACAAAUACAUAGCAGCUACAUGCUACUCGUAUUUUCUACCAAACAUUCCAGACCACAAGUGCUAACACAAACAGAUAGAAGAGUCAUGAAAGAAACUAUCCAGAUUCGGCCAGGUUGCCAAGCUGCAAGCCUGCAACUCCAUACAGCAAAGAGCCUGUUACAUAGAGUCAGGGCUCAGGAACAUAAUACAUGGUCAACGAAGUACCUACAUUACAUGUCAUCUAGUCUAGAUUCCAACAACAUAUUACAGCAAUUGUGUUGCAUCAGUUUAUGUUUCCCCAGAUGGCCUGCCCCGAGGUCACUUUGUUGCUUGGCCUUGCUGUCAAUUCAUAUAGGAUCCGAGCAAAUGUGUCCGAGUAUUUCCCUUCUGAUGUCAGGAUCUCAGCAAAAGUGUUCUCAUGCACAAGGAGAUGCAUCCUGUUUUGAGGCUCAGAGACAAGGCUCUCCAGUAUCAUCGACGUCUUCCUGCAGACCUCAGGCACCGGAUGCGGCGUCUUCACGAUCUUUAGGAGUCUAUCGACAGCCCUGGUUCAAUUGACAUCGAAAUGGUAAAUUUUACAGACUGUAAUGCCCCUUCUCUGAUAUUAGGAUGCUUUGUCUAAUUGUAUGAAGUAGACAUUUACCAUCGCUCACUGGCAAGCUUGAGCCUGCAAUCCAUAUUCACUUCGGCUACAUUGUAGAGUGCACUAACAGCAGCAGCCUGUGCAUCAUAUGCUGGUACACUCAAUAGGUCAACUAGUCGUUUGUAUAUCUGCAUCAAGUAAACCAAUGUAAGUACGACACCUAAAGAGCUGAGAAACAGAUAGCUUUAUUCAAAUCCAUCUGCAUACCAUAAUGGUACAACAGUAAAUACUACUAAAUGCAAAGAGUGAUCCAAAUUCCAAAAAUACAUUUACCUGUGGAAUGACAGGAAGAAGAAAUGGCUCAUUGUCUGGAUUUAUUAUCAGACGGCCAAUCAAUUCAGCAGCGGCACAGUGCCAUGGCUUCACGGAAGAAGAAAGCAUACCCAUUAUGGCAUGAACUGCACCUUUCUCACUAUCUUGGCAAAGAGCAGGCAAAUGAGUAAACCUCAAGAUAGAAAUGAAUCGGUAAAGAAUAAUGCACUUCUAGACUCAUCUUACGUCAUUUUAAUGAACGAUGGCUUUGAUGAGCUGAAGAUCCUCAGGUCCAACACAGGUGCUAAAUUGACAAGGGUCUCCACCAUGUUUGUUAUGAGCUCGUCAUCUUCUGUUCAAUGACAAAUACCAGUACAACUUGAGUUCUCAAUUAUGUAUUAAAGUCUGUCGGAAAAAAUAGCUGGAGAUAUGUCACAUAGCCCCAGGAUAAAUAGCUCACUCAAGUUACAGCAGAUAGUCGAAUAGGAGUACAAACAUACCAAAAAAACAUAUAACUUUCACAUCAUCAAUAUUUUGCAGAGUUAGACCAAACACAAAGUUAAAAUAGGAACCAUAAAUAGCCAGUUUCUUUGCCAAGCUUGUGGAGAACUGAGCAAUAGCUCGGUUGCAGAGCCUCCUGCCUGGCAGACUGGCACCUUAAGACAAAGCCAAGGGAAAGUCACCCCGUGGGGAUUUUUCGCAGAUUAAUAAACAACCUAGAUGGAGCAUAUGCAGGUAAUAAUUGGACAAAACAUAAACUGCAGAAAACUUGAAGAGCCAAACACAUUCACAUAGCCUCAUUUGAUCAUCACCAAGUUAACCUAUAAACCAAAAAAACAAAGACACAGGACUAUUUCAAUAUUUACCUCUAUUCUGGUCCUCUAAGCAAUGAAAUAUUGACUCCAAGCAAUGCCUAUGUUGAACCAUGAUAAUCUCAUUUUCUGGCAUAAAAGAGAAAUUGCGGAUUAUAUUGGAGGCUGCAAUAGCGCACUGCUGCCUUUCUGCCCUCCCUUCAUCAUCAUUGUUAAACAAGCCAUCCUCAUCAAACCAAAAGCUUGCAGCGCGCUUCUUCGUGACACUGGAGUCUUCCGUCUUUGAUUGAUCAUUAUUAGAGGUACUGUAAUUAACACAUUUUAUAGAGCAUAAGUAUGGCAGCAAGUGCCAUGGAUACUGAGAUGAGUUGUCAGGAUCUUGGUAAGACUAGUAACAACAUACGUGGCAGUGUCAGAGUAGACUUUUUCCAUGUUCUCCUGGCCAAAGCCCGAGAGUGUUGUGUUGGCACCCAAAGUUCUUACUCUGGGUGGUUUCAGAUGGUCCUUAGGCAUUGAAAUAUCUCUCCAUUCAUCAAUCUGCACAAAAUAUCAAAGCAUAAGACAGAAUGCAAAAGAAAAAUGAUGGUAGCUUCUUUUAGAGGAGAUACCCUGGCACAUUAGUAUGUUAUUACUUAGCUAGAAUUUAAUUUGGUAUAAGAAACAUAUGAAUAAGAUGAGAUGAGAAAGUGCUUGGGUGACCCAGUAAUAAUUGGACCUCUUCUGACUUUAUUAGGAAGAAGCUUAUUGUUAGCUAUCAACAAGACAGACUCUUCCACAGUUAAAUCUAUCUGACGCAUUCCCUCUUUCUCUCCCUCUCUCAUCUCCAUGUAAAUGAUGUGACUGCCACAUGACAAAAAAAAAUGUUGUCGCUACAAAAUCACCAAAAAAUACCUAAACUCGUCCGAGGGCAUGGUUUACACCUGUUUUAUAUGAUUCUGGACAAAAAAGGGUGAACCCUUGUAGGAUAUGGGGAGAACUCUAGGCAGCCUUAUCUUUGAUCUCUUUUUUUUGCAACAUGUAGGAUAAAAUUUAGAACAAGUGAAGGUUUGGGAUUUGGGAAUCAUUAGAUGACCUUUUUUCCUUUGUAUUAUGGCUACAAACCUACAGUGGGCAAUGGUGCAUUGGUGCCAUAUCAUAGUAUGCAUGAGGUCAUUACCACUUUCUUCAAUGUUUCAUGUUGAACGGUGAUGCUAACUUGAUUAAAUCUAGUUCAAAUGCAUCCUAAUGCAAAUAAAACUAGCACUCAUUAACUCCUUAGCCAGACAGGACAAAGAUUAUGACAAAAAAAUUAAAAAAGGAAAUUGCAUGGUUUAGUAAAAGAUACAUCAAACUGGAAAGUAAAAAGGGAGACAUACAACUUGAAGAAGAGCAUCUAGGAGCCCAGGAACUUUAGCAAGAGGUGUUGUAUCACGUCGUUGGUCGUCUUUCUCCUUAAAUGAGAGUACUGUAAGGGCAUUCAGUGCCCACAGUAUCUCUGACUUCAACCCACUUUGCAAUGCAAGGACAAUUCUUUUGUUGUUCUGAUCUGUCAAAUAGCCAAUCCUGGAAACCGUUAUUACAAUAUGAUUACUUGUGCAGUUUAAGCACAUGAUGAAGAACAUGAGAUAUCAUCUCUAACAAACGGGAUAAAACAAGAGGACAAUAUAGACUCUAUGCAUCUUAAAUAUAGAGAGCAGGAUCACAAAAGAAGGUGGUCAUAAUUGUAGCAUGCCAUGAUUUGUCAGCUGUACAGAAUAGCUGUUUCCAUGGGAAAAUAAAAACAUGUACACACAUUAUAAAUCUGUAUAGUAAAAGUGCUUGGCUGCUUGCACCUACAUACACUUUCAAGCAAGGAUAUGUGCACAAGUAUAAAAAUAUCUAAGUCCAAUCUUAGUCAUCACAUAGAAACUCAGCUCUCAUUGAUAGGGCUCCAAUUCACAGCACCACACCAGAUAUGGAAUUUGUCAACCAAAUUAAAGUGGUUUAGAUAUUUAUAUUUACUCUAGAAUAGAAACACGAUGAUACAAUACAACCAAGUAGUCUCAGUGUAUUCCAGUUCCAGUUUCAUGUAUUUUAGAGCAAGGAAUACCCAACCUCAACAACUCCUGGAGCUGGAGCUGUGCCAUAAAGGUUUGGCAGCCAUGCAACAGAAAUCAUUACAGCUAACUUGGCUUGCAACACAAUUCAAACUGGAAAUGAAGCAUAUUACAAACUUCUAAGAAUAAAAAAGAAAUGGAACUGAAAAAAAAAAAGUCUAAACUGGAUAUUAAGGCCAGAUUCAAAGUCGUUUGGAACUCUAUAACCUAAUCCAGGCCUGAAUUAUGUGUCUAAGUAUUGGAGGUGGAGCAGUGGUCUGAAAGAUAGCCCGUUAGUGUUCUAUUGUAUCACACUGAUUUGAUAAAGGGUUCAGUUGUGGGGUCAAACUUUUAUCAUUAUGUGCAAACUUUGCUACUCUGCGGACUGUUUCAAGAGUAUGAGCUGGGAUCUGAAGGGAGCAGAAAGUUAAGCUAAAUUAAAUGGUAAAUGCACUGUUUUAGUUUGCAUGACUGUGAUGGUUAAGAUUUUAUUUGACAGUCUACACAAUAACACAACGGUUUUGCAGUAAUACCUCAGCAUAGUGGCUUUGCCAACAUAAGACAACAUGACAAUGAUGUUGUUUCUGAGAAAACAACAAACCACAACAAACUGACCCCAGAUCCCCCCAUAAAACGUGCACUCAGAUGCGAAAAUCUUGGACCCCAACGCAUUAUGCCUCCAAUGUCAAUACCAAGCACAUAAAAAUUAAACUGACGUCUCCAGCUCCAGCUGAAAGAGAGGAUUAUUCAAAGUCUAAAGCCCCCAAUUUGCAUCUGACAACUCUACCCUAAGGAACAGAGGCAAGAGCAAUAAUUCAGAGUACCUACCAACACCCCAGUUCAUCAGUCUCCAUGCCCUAGAAACCCAUAUAGGCUCAGAUGAACUGCAGAAGCAGACGAAUGGGCGAAUUACCUGACAGGGCUGAUAGGACUUGGAGGGACGGCCCAACCAGCGCGGCGGACGCACCCGGGUCGACGACCGCAGCCGCCGCGGCAGCGGCCGCGGCUCCGCCGCCGGUGGUGCUCCCGAACGGGCGGCCGCGCUUCGCCGGCGUGCCUCCACCGGUCCCACCAGACUUGCCUGACUGCUUCUGCAUAGCUAGGGUUUUGGAGCUCGGAGCUUGGAGGCGGAGUGAUCGAAAACGUCGUGGUCGGAGCUCGGAAUUGGGUGGGCAGUUGGGCACUGGCGCACCGCGACGGAGGCAGACAAGGGUGGCCGCAGGAUCUUUACUCGGAUGGUGGAGAUUGAACGGACUGCUUGCCGUUGCUCUACAGAUCUGGCUAUUCAGGUCGGCCCGAUGGCAGUCCCAACUCCAAACCUAAAGUCUGUUUUUUUCCUUAAUAGGUAAAUGUCCGUGCGUUGCUACGGGAAUCUUAAAAUUUUCAAUACAAUUUAACACAAUAAAAGUAGAAAAAAAUAGCAGGUUAAGAGCUUAAAUUUUCAACACAAUAAGAGUAUCAAAAAGUAGUAGAUCAAAAUAAAGACAAAUAAUUUUUUAACUUGCUUGGCAACAUAAUGUUUUGAUCCACAUUUAAAUAAAUAAAUGUCAAAUUUAUUAACAAUAUCAAAAUAAGCGUAUGAUAGAUAAAUCCUCCACUCUCUUUCAUUGUCUUAUCCCCGUUAUGCAGGUAAGAUAUUCUCGUAUGAAUAGAGGACUAACGCGCCACUGUGAAUUCCCAUCAUAUGCCAAUGCCCGUAUAUUGCUAUGGGUGAAAUCUUAUAUUAAUUCAGUUUAUUGCUCCAAUAAAAAAUUUUCAAAAAGAUGUUGACGUCAAUAAUGAAGAUAAAGCGAUAUAUGAUUUAUUUUUGCAUCACCGGUAUAAGUGGAAAUGAAAUAUUAAUCAAACUUAACUAUACAAGGCAUGCAUAUCAACAAAAUGCAGCAUUGUUGAAAUGCGCGUACGUUUGCAACGGGGAGAUAUAAUGCUAUGAUAAUAUGAAUAUGAAUGUGUGUUGUAUUGUUAUCAGAAAAAAAUAAUACUUCGAGCAUGACGGUUCUCGGAAGUUUGGAGUUCAAAGGGCAAUAAUACAAUAUACAACUCAACACCGGUAUCACAAUGCUCAACUCAAACAACAACAGAGUGAACCGAGAAGGAAAUAUUGUAAUUUAACACAAAGGAUAAUGGUGCAUGCAGUGAAAGUCUCCCGUCUCCUCCACGGUUGAGUCCUAACCCUUGCAAGUUGCAAGUGGUAAUACUCCCAUGCAGUCUUCAAAGUAUCAAUUGCCUUUAUAAUCCCACAUCCAACCUUGAUUAUGUCACUACCCUAUAGUUUAUCAUCUGAACUGCAAAUCCAAGAUGCAAGUGACAUGGUGUAUCAGAUAAUACAAAGGUUAUAGAAAAAAAAUAAUAGCUCAAAUCCUUUUGAGCGCUAAAGGCAAGAGAACCUACAACUGAACCAUAAAUCAAAAUUUGGACAUAAGAGAUGGUAGCAAAAAUCCUGAAUAUGCCAGAGAUGCUGUGCAACAAGAUUCUAAUUUUAUUAUGAAAAUGGUGAAUAGUACGAAAUGCAGUAAAUGCUGGAGACAAGCAGCUAACCCCUACUGCUAUUGCCGGAUCUGUUGAUAGUUGGUUACUGAAAUUCAGAGAAAGCGAAAGCUUACUAUAGCAUGUCCAACAACGGUCGGAUGCACCUGGAAACCUCCCCCAUUAGACAUGCUGAAAAUCAACGUAGAUGGUGCUUUUGCCCAAGCUAACAGAAAGGGGGCUAGGGCUUCAUAUAAUGUUAUGAUCAUACAAGUGAUGGUGUUCUAGCAGGUGCAGGCAAUGUAUCGGCUCAUCAAGGCAAGGACUUAGUAUUGGUUCAUCACACAGUUUUGCAGUGAAGUGAGUCACUGCUUCUAAUAGCUUGUCAUGCUCUAAUCUGAAUUUUCUCUCUAAGCAAAUGUUUUUCUCUGAAACUUAUCUCAAAACAAAGGUCUGAAGAUCCAAUUUUCUCCCUAGAAUCUAAAUAACGUCCAUUCACAUUCUUUCAUAACUAUAUUAGGACUUGUUGUUUAUCUGAUGAAACUAAAAAUUCUGAACAUUGUCCAGUAACCCAAAACAAUGGAUCAAUUUCAGUACAUGUAGUUUAUCUGCUAAUUAAUUCAACAAUUCAAUAUGAGAUGAGAUCCGUCAUGCUGGAGCUUGGUGUAGUGUAGUGUAGGCAGAGAGAUAGAUUCAUAUGAGAUGAGAUCGAUAAGUACUCCAAGUUCAAGAUAGGAUGAUUAUUAGUCAGUAUACAUACCACAGGCUCAUAGCUUAAACGCAGGCGCACCAACCUUUCGAUGUGAGGGCGAGGCUCCAGCUGCAGUUGCAGCUUCAGGUUCAGGUUCAGGUUCAGGUAGGGAGAAACCCAUGGCAGCGGCAGCUGCGCGCACCGGCACCAGCCUUUCCACAGCUUUCCUUUCUUUUCGGCUGUUGCUGCCACCGUGGAGGGUCCACCUCCCGUUACUUUCUCCUCCCUCCCAUUCAUUAUUACCAACCAACUAACCCAUCACCCAUCAUGAGGAUUGACGAUUGAGGAAGAGGAAACAUCUCGCACAGCACAGCACAGCACAACAGUAGAAUACGGCAAAUCUGCAUCUCCGGCUCCAAGCUUGUGUUUCUCCUGCUGCUUUGCGCCAUGGUGCUGCCGACAGGCAUAUCCUCUGCAAAGAUCCAUGGUAAAAUCAAUCAAUAUCGAAUCUCAGAGUCCUACUUGGUUGUGCUCAAAUUGAUUUGCCAGCGCUUGUGCUUUGUGCUUGCUCAAAUUGAUGGCGAUGGCGGUCGUGGCAAGGAACCCAACCAACAACCUUGUGGCCCUCAUCAACGGCAGGAGGGCGGUGAGCAAGCUGCCUGCGCUGUGCAACAGCAGGGGCCUCGGGUGCAUGACGCUGCAGUACAUCUCCGAGUGCAUGUCCACGGGCCCGCCGCCGCCUGCAGCAGCGGCAACAGCAACACGGUGGUGUGCCAGCCUCCCGAGACACACAUCACGGAGGUCUUCGCCGCCAACUGCGGCGUGGAGCUCCCCACGGUGGACGUCAUCUCCGGCUGCCACAAGGACCGCGAUGGACCGGAGGAUGCGCUGCAGGCCGUGCUGGCAGCAGCCACCGGCAACAGCAGCACCAAUGCCACCCAGGCAGCCGCGCUGGCGGUGAUCCGCGGCAAGGAGCACACCCAGGUGGGCGCCGGCUUCGAUCGGGCGCACCGCCGCAGACCCUUCUUCUGGUGCCUCUUCUUCAGCAGCGGCAGCGCCAACUCCACCUUCCUGCUUCAGCGCUCCAGAUCGACCCUCGUGCAACGCCGCGCCGCCGCGCGCCGGACACCUCGCAGUCACGCACAGAGAAGGGGAGUGGGCGAUGGGUGAGAGGAAGCUAGACACAGAUAGCCGGCUCACUAUUGUUGGGCGAGGGAGAGUUGAGAAGGAGGUUGGAGCGAGGGAGAGCUGGGGAGUCGCGCCGUUGAGUCCUGGAGGGAGACGCGGGGAGUCAGGUGCGGGGACGGGGCGGGGCGAGGCGAAGGAGCGUUGUGGACGAUUGCUUUUGCUAUGUAUUAGUUGUAGAGAUUUGAUAAAUUUUAACUUCAAUUGGCUAAUAACUCAUAGCUGAAAGUACUCUUUACUGAUUUGUUAUGAGAGAAAAACACUAUUGAAUAGCUGGCAGAUUCGGCAGAUAAGCUUAAGCGAACAGACUUGAGUCGAUAGUCGUGCAUUUUUAGCAAUUUUGCAAACUUGUAGUCUUCUUUCUUGAGUGAUUUUCAUCAGUUUAGGAGAUUAAUGGCCGCAAGGACCAAUGCCCAGGGUGUAUGUGUGGAGAUCCCACAUAUAUAAAAUCAACAAGAGUUUGAUUAUCAAUAAAUAGCAUCACCUUCUGAGUAUAGGUUGCAGCGCUUCUCAGCAACUAUUCACUGAGAAAGUCAUAGCUGAAAUUACUAUUCGCUGAUUGUUGUAAGGUAAAACACUGCUUAAUGGCUAGCAGAUUUGGCAGAUAAACUCAAGCGAACAGGCACGUAAGUCAGGGGGUUCAUUCGCUUCUGCUUGAUAGUCAUUGCGGCAGUGGUAGUAGUUAUCACUAUAGUAGUAUCGAUGUCUGGACUAGCGGUCCUGACGCUAACAAGUAAAUUUGUGUCUGCGUGCCCAUUUACCCAGAUGGUGAUGCAAGAAGGACACGAGAUGUUUAUACUGGUUCAGGCCGGAUGUGCCCUACGUCUAGUGUGAUGAGGAGAUUCGUGUUAUCUUGCGCCUGAAGUGCUCGUAGUAGGGGUUAUAAGCUGGCUACAAGAGAGAGUACGUCGCAGGUCUCGACUUUGUGUGUUCUAGUGGGAUUGUCUAUGUGUGUGUUGUUCCCCCUUGAAUGGGACCCUGCCUCCCCUUUUAUAGUCUCAAGGGGAGACAGAGGUUACAUAUGUUAGUGCUAUGGUACCACGGCCUUAGUUCGAGGCAUGAGUUAAGGUAUGGCGUUAUGAAGUGACGGUGAGGUGCUUCAUUCUUGAUGCUGUAGUUGAUUGUGAUCGUGGUAUGGGUGCUCCCGUUGUUGUAGUGUUAGUGCGGAGCCAUGUCGGUUCAAGGGACAAGAUGUUUUGACCCUUGUUCAUUCUCCUAUGUUGAGUUCUAAGGCUCUUUCCCUUCGGUUUAGGGGGCUCUGUUGAAGUCGUGGCUACAACGGCUAGGAUUGACCCACCCAUUACCCCUGACGCGACUGUACGCAUAGUGACAGGGACAGGUGGCAUAGUUUCGGUCAUGUCCUGUACCGUGCGACGUGGGUGGGGACGUGUCUUGCAUCUUAUCCACCGUACUGUGGUGCUUGGCGUAUCUGAGAAGCCUCGAGCACUUCGUUGGGAGUGGGGCGCCCGAGGCUGGACUCGAGCGAGACAGAGAAUACCCAAGGCUUCGGUUAGACCUCGGGCGAGAUGAAAGUUGCACGAGGCUUGGCCUCGGGUGAGACGGACAUCGUCCUAUAAAAAUCUGAGGCUUAGUUUGGUUUUUAUUGGGGUGCCUUUCCACUGACCCAUUUGCCCUUAUUGUUAUUUAAUUUUGAAAAGAAGAUUAGGGUGCUCAUGACCUCAAUUUGAGUACCCUAGUUUAUGAUAUCCAAUAAGUAGAUAACAGUUUUUGGGUCAAAACCACGGCCAUAGUUAGCGUUAAAGUGCAUUUAAACAGACCACUAGUUUCUAUACCGAUGAAUGUUUUCUUCAAAAGUAACCUAAUUUCUAUAGUAUUACCAAGGCCAUAUUUGAUAUAACUUAUAAGCUGCCUAUUGUUACAAAAGGUUGAGAUUAAAACUAAACUGUAUGUAUUUUUAACGUUUUUUCUGACUAUAUUUUUCUCCAUGCACAACACUCUUUUGUACUAAAAAGUAGAAGCUGAGUCCGACCAAUUUAUUUGUAGCUACUCUUUUGCUUUAUUUGUACAGAUUCUCGUAGAAACAUUUUUUUUAUUGCUAUACCCAACAGUGCCUAAGAGCAUCUCCAACAGUUUUACAAUUUAUUUUUGACUAAACAUAGAGUUUGUUAAGUCUUAAAUUAAUAUAGUGAGAAGAAAAAAAGUUUACCUCCAAUGGUUUGACAAAAUUGACUUGGCAAAACCCAAAGUGUGGACCUAGCGAUUAUUUUUUCAGGCGAAAAUUUUCUUCGCGUCAUCAACUCGGUCGUGCGUCUUUCUUCGCGCGCUAUUCCUGGCGCCGCCGCCUUCCAGUUCCCAGUCGUGUGUGCACUUGAAGGAAGAGAAUAGAUCAAGGUGGAGAUUGCAUGCAGCCGCCAGGGCUUCUUGGAAUGCAGUUAGCGUACUAGAAGAUCAGGGCGACGGAGACGGCUUUAGCCAGGUCGGGCUAAAUCAGCUAGCCACCGGGGGUUGCUGUUGUUGUACUCUAUAGCGUCGUCGCCAUAUCCUCGUCCUGGACGAAAUCCAUGUUGCCGACGACUCCACCAAGCAGGCUUGCGCUGCGGAACCGAAAGAUCGCGGCCUCCAACUUUCCACGGGAAGAAAACGGCGGCGGCAGGGAAACCACACGUGGGGAAGGAAAACACGCAGGGUUAUACGAUGCCAAGCGCAAUACACGGUUGGCAUAUAUGCCAAACCUAGCCAGGAAUUUACCAAGUUAACAAAAAUGCAAAGCUCAUUUGCCAAACCAUUGAAUAUAAAUUUUUAAGACUUUUUUGCAAAAACAAAAAUAAAAAGCCGAUUUGCAAAAUCGUUAGAGAUGCUCUAAGGCCUUGUUCAGUUCUAGAAAAUUUUUGAUUUUGGCUACUAUAGCAUUUUCAUUUGUAUUUGAUAAAUUUUAUCUAAUCAUGGACUAACUAGGCUCAAAAGAUUUAUCUUAUAAAUUACAGGCAAAUAUGUAAUUAUAUUUUGUUUUCAUCUAUAUUUAAUGCUUCAUAUAUACGUCCAAAGAUUUAAUGUGACGGAAAAUCUGCAAAAGUUUUGGGAACUACCUAAGUCAGGCCUUGUUCAGUUUGGGAAAUUUUUUGGAUUUUGACACUGUAUCACUUUCGUUUUUAUUUGACAAACAUUGUCCAAUCAUGGAGUAACUAGACUCAAAAUAUUCAUCUCGCGAUUUACAGAUAAACUGUACAAUUAGUUUUUGGUUUCAUAUAUAUUUAACGCACCAUGCAUGUGCCGCAAGAUUCGAUGUGAUGGGGAAUCUUGAAAAUUUUUGGUAACUGCCUCAAUGGAUUCACUCGUAGUACUAUCUACAGUGCAGUCAGGAUGGUUGGGUUGUGCAUUGUAUGUUUGUUGUUAGUAAAAAAACAUUAACUAAAGAAAAAAAAAAGAGCUUGGUGAGAGGAGGUCAGUGAGUGAACCAAACUGUAGCUGUGUGAACAAGGCCUCAAACAAAGCCUCACCAGGCCCUCCUGCCCUCCAGUGGCUGGAGUGACAGGCGCGCGCCACCGGGCCUGGCAGCGCUCGUCGAGGCUGCGUUCCUUUCUAAACUGGGUUGCUGUGCCUUCGAUUACCGGUACGGCACUACUAGAGAGCGUGGACAAUAACGUGGUUUUUUUAAUUUUUAUUUAUUUACGUGAUGGCCAUGCACGAGAGCAGUCUAGGCACAGGAGGGCCCAUCACGCAAAAAAUCUCGUGCCUUCCUGUUUGGCCUUCUUUGUUGAAAAAAAAUUAUGGUUUUUCUCCCUCGACUAUCACAAAAGUUUUAUUUUUCUCCCUCAACUCUAAAAUCGGAUAAACCACCUCCCUCAAUUUUUUAAACCGUGUAUUUUAGCUCUCUAGAGUGGUUUAGAGUGGUUUCGAAGGAGGCUACAGUAAAGGGUGGUUUUGCAACAGUAAUGAUGGUUUUAUCUUUUUUUUAACUAUUUCAACUGAAUUUUCAAAAAUCAUAGUAAAUCACUAAAAAAUAUAUAAUAGAAAAUUUAAUUUUUUUUGGACUCCACAUAAGUAGAUCUACAUAAUAAACAUAUAAUAUGGUAUGUUUUAGUAUAAAGUUUUAGCUAUAAAGGGUUUGUCUUUUUAUUUUUAAUUUCUUUUGGCUAAAUAUUUGAAAAAUCAUAGUGAAUUACAGGAAAAAUAUAAAAUAGAAAAUAUAAUUUUGUUAGACUCUACAUGAGCAUAUUUACACAAUAAAUAUAUAAUGUGGUAUACUUUAGUAUAAAUUUUUUGUUGUACCUCUAGAUCUAUGCUUUUCUGUAAUUAAUUGAAAUAUUUCAUAGUUGUAGCUUUUGUAGUUAUUUUGUCGGACUAAAGCAUACAUAUAUUAUAUGUUUAUUGUGUAUAUAUACUCACGUGGACUCCAAAAAAUUAGAUUUUCUAUUUUUUAUGAUUUACUAUAAUUUUUCAAAGAUUAAGCCAAAUAAAUAAAAAAAGAAAAAAAUACUAAACCUUUAUAGCAAUAACUUUGUGUUAAAGUAUACCGUAUUAUAUGUUUACUGUAUAGAUCUACUUACGUGGAGUCUAAAAAAAUUAGAUUUUCAUUUUAUGAUUUACUAUGAUUUUUUAAAGAUUUAGCCGAAAUAAUUAAAAAGAAAAAAGACAAAACCAGCAUCACUGUAAGAAAACCACCAUUCACUAUAGCAAAACCGACUUCGAAACCGCUCCAGGGAGGUAAAAUAUACAGUUUGAAAAAGUUAAGGGAGGUGGUUUGUCCGGUUUUAAAGUUGAGGAAAAGCCGAAUUUUAUAAAAGUUGAGGGAGUCUCAAGUUACCGGCAAAAACCCAACAUCGACUGUACGCAUGCGCAGGCCAGCAGGACAGAGAACUCAAUGUGGCAUGCGUCGAUCACAGGCACCGCGCCUCACGGGCGGGUCCGUGAAGCCGCCUUGGCCAAGAAAGGUGCCAAGAAACAGAGGUGGUUGUGAGCAUCCACUGGUGUCAAGAACCCUGCUUGAAUUAGCAUUCUUAGGGGAUGUUUAAGACCGCUCCACGAACUCUGCUUCACAAACUGCAUUGUGGAGUAGCUCCACAAAAAACUGAAGUUUAUGGAGCAGCUCUUUAGAUGCUCUUACAACUCCACUCCUUUUUUUUUUGUUGAACUGGGUUCGUGGAACUGAAACCGUUUAGCUAAAAAAUAUGAAGCGGAGCUGAAAAAUGUGGAGCAGAGCAGUCCCAAACACCCCUUUAACUUCACAAAAAGUAAUUCUGGAGUGAUGCACUUUCAGGAUCAACACGAUGUCCAACCAAGCUUUGCGGCCGGGCAUUCAUAGACCAUGGCAGUAUGGCACUAUAUUCCCUUACCCGAUGUGAGAUCAUGUAAAUACAGCUUACGAACUGAUGAUAGAUAAUUAGCGAUUAGCCGAUUAUGAUCUCUGUUCGAGAUGUGAAAACUAGAAGAGUGCAGAACCAUCAGUAGUUUUAUACCUUUCCAAAGUUUGGGCAUGUAUAUAUCACUUCUCCAUCCAUUCAGAAGUACAACCAAGACGAAAAUGGUGACAGCACUUAGUUACAAGUUUUUGGAUUGCCUGGUGUAUACUCUGCACAAUGAAUUAAUCAUAAUGAAUUGGUGAAAAAAUGUUCAGACACCAAGAUAAACUGCUUAGGAAAAUUUUAUUUGAACACAAACCUUCCAUACAGGUAGGGCAGACAUCCUCAACUUCUGAAGCUAGACAGCUCAUAGCUGCUACUACAUAUAAACUUUUGCAGACAAAACUCCAAUAGUCGAUUCAGAACGAUGGACCUUAUAUUCAUCCUCAUUUUCAGUGUUGCAUCACUGAAUAAGAUUUUUUCAUAGUAUCACCAAAUUACUAAAUCUACGUUUGCAUGUAUGUUGAAGUAAAGAACAAAAAAAAGAGUUGGUGAGAGGGGUUAGUGAGUGAACCAGAACAACCACACGGGACUAAUCCCGCAUGGAAACCCAAGGAGAUGUACUAAUAGGCCUAUAAAUGAUGGACACUAGAGCCCAGCAUCUAGGAGGCCUCCAAAAUGCUGGGGAACCUAGGCCCGACCUAUCGCCGUUUCGGCGGCGAGCUCCACAGGCCAAUUGCCCGUGUCGAAGACACGGUUGAGCUCUGGCUCCAACUCACAACCCAGGCUGAGGCCCAAAUAUCAAUUCAUUCCAUUUCGAUUCAUGUUCCUCCCGCAGCUGGCCCAGCACUUUGUCACUGCACCAACUCUUUUGCCCUCCAGUGGCUGGAGUGACAGGCCCGCGCCACCGGACCUGGCGGCGCGCGCUCGCGCUGCGUUCCAUUUUAAGCUGGGUUGCUAAGCUUUCGAUUAGCGGUAUGGCACUAAAGGAGGGCGGAGAACCCCUGUUUGAACGCGGUUUUCUUUUCGUGAUGGUCAUGCAUGCACUCGAGAGCAGUCAGUCAGCAGGCAGAGGACGCAUGAGAGAUCCCGUGCUUUGCUGCAUGCAUGUUCGGCUUUCUCUGUUUUCUCCGGUUGAAGUCGUCUCAAGUCACACCGGCAGAAACAAAAAUUAAACCCACAAGUAUUAAAUAUAGACGAAAACAAAAACUAAUUGCACAGUUUAUCUAUAAAUCACGAGAUGAAUUUUUUGAGCCUAGUUAGUCCGUGAUUGAAUAAUGUUUGUCAAAUAAAAACAAAAAUACUAUAGUACCGAAAUCCGAAAUCUUUUCGAAACUAAACAAGGCCCAAAUUGCCAUUCCUUUAGUAUUCCGAUCCUUUCUUAUUGACUUUAAAUUAAUGCGAAACCAUCAGUUAUGGACCUUUCAAAAUUCGGGUGGUCAGUCACCGGCUGGGAUUUGCAUUUUCAGAGAUGGAUGAUUUGCAUGCGGAAGUACCAACCUGCACCUGCUAAUCUGCUAUACCAUACAAUCAUUAGUUACAAUGGUCUACUCCCUCCGUCUAAACAAAUUGUUGUUGUUGACUUUCAGACAUCUUGGUUGACCAUCCGUCUUAUUAAAUAAUUUUAUAUAAAUAUCAUCUAUUUUGAUAUGAUUUAUUUGAUCAUUAGAGAUACUUUAAUAAUCGUUCGCAUAAAAAGAUACUUUAAUAAUAAUGUGUUUAUUUUAUAAUUUAUACAAAAUCUUUGAAAAUAAGACGAUUGCAGUGGCGUAGCUAGGGGGGCUAGAAGGGGCCAAAGCCCCCUAUGGUCUACAACUUUUGUAUAUAUUCAUACUUUAACCACUAGUACAAGUAGUCAUUUUAAAGGAAAUAAGAUCUUCGAGGUCAUAUUUUCAUAUCUUUCCCUUGUCUUGGCCCUCCCCAAUUUGUUUCUCUGGCUCCGUCUCUGAACGAGUAGUCAAAUAUAAUGUCUUUUAAGUUGAAAACAUUAGUCAUUUUUUGGACAGAGGGAGUACACUAUGCACUCCGGCGCAAAUAUGAAAAAGAAAAAGAAUCUGGCCUUGUUUAGUUCCUAAAAAAAAUUGCAAAAUUUUUUAGAUUCUCCAUUACAUCGAAUCUUGCGAAGCAUGCAUGGAGCAUUAAAUAUAGAUAAAAAUAAAUAAAUAACUACACAAUUUAUCUGUAAUUUGUAAGACGAAUCUUUUAAACCUAGUUAGUCUAAGAUUAGACAAUAUUUAUCAAAUAUAAACUUACAUAUUUUGCAAAAAAAAAAUGAACUAGACAAGGUCUGAAAUUGCUUGGUAGGCGACUAUAGCGUGCAGUCUGUGUUCCGGAUCCUGUGUGAAUGGCAUAAGGUAUGUACUUAUGCAUAGAGGUGGUAGAGCCAUCAUCUAGGACGCAUGAACCAUGAACGAAAGCACAUAGUUAGAGGCUAGAGCUCGCCAAUUCACAAGCUUCUCUUUACCGAAACAAAACACCAUACGUCCCUGGAGGGACAGAAAUAAGCAAAAUGAAUAACGCCAUAGAUUUACCACAGGCAAAGUAGUCCGUUUGAUCGGAAUUCGAAAGGAUCUUGCAUUCCGAUCGACCACUGCGCACCACGUAAGGGCGCGUGCGGAGGCCUGGAGCGGCGCAACAUGCAUACUAUGCCAUAAUUUACAAGCGGGGUUCAUAUGCACACGUCAUAAUUUACAAGCCAUAUAUAUUGGCCGCGGAGCUAGAAACAUUCUUCCAUUGCGACUUGGAGUGACCAAAGCGGCCACAGCAUAGGCCCCAACAUAAUCAGCCAAUCAGCAGCGCUACCGUUAGAACGCGAUAUCUGUUCCAGCAGAAUUUUUGCAACAUUGAUAAGGAGAUUUGUGAACAUGCAAUAGCCAUAUAUGUUACUCGUAACUAGAGAAGGGCAGAGAUGACCAGUCUGAGUUAACUCUUACCUUUGUCUUUUAUGGUACGCAGGUCAGCUAGGUGACGCAUUGUUGGCCUCCCAUGCGGACAGUUCCAAGGGGACCUUAGUCCUGUCAGGUUUUUAAGUAUCUGAAAGUAGAAAAGCAAAACAAGGGCACGUCACUAGGUAGUUUUAAAACGAAUGUUUAUCUUUCAACAAGCAGACACACCUAUCAAAAGCUAAUUGAAUGUGUAAUUACCUUCUUCAUCUCGGCUUUUGUUAGUGGAUCACCUAUCAUAGUAGACAUUCGGCAAGCCCUAGAAGCCAACAUAGCACGAACCCUCGAAGGGCAAACAGAAUCGGUUGUAUCCAGCUUGUAGCUACUUAUUAUUGAACAGUCUCCUUGACUAUCAGCAAGCAUGGAGAUCAGCUCCUUCACAUCUAAAAUCAAGGGAGUUCAGAAUAGGACCAUGUUUGACAUGCACAAAAACAUAAUUUCUGACAUGAAAAUAACAAAUACCUUGAACACCAAAUGUAAUAUUUUUGCUGAAAGGCACAGCUUUCAAAAGAUAAUGGUUACCAGGGGAAGCAUGCAAAUCUUCUGCCAAAACAAAACCAUUUUUUCUGAAAAUUGAGAAAAUGGAAGAAAACAUUGUGAGGCAACAAGAGCUGUUGUUAAAUAUUGAAAACAUACAGUGUGUUUCUCAGUAUUAGUUAUAAGACAUUAAGGAAAAAGGCAUUGCAAAAAUCAAGAUGACCAAGUUGGCACACAGUUGAAGAUUACGUCAGGAAUGAAUUUGAUCGUUUCAAUAUUAAACAUAGGCAGCAAAACUUUUUUCUGGAAGCAAAACACAAAGAAAUGAUCAAUGAAUAACAAGAGUUAUACUACUUAUACCGUGUAUUCUCUUUUAAGCAAUUGAGAACAAUAAAAUAAGUACAGAUAACAAACUAUACAUGUUGUUUAUCUUAGUGGUGGAUGUGCUCAAUACGCUCAUUAGCAACGCAAGCAUCAAUGAUAUGCUCCAGCCCCUCCUCCCAUGAGGGUGACAGUCAGCGGGUCUCUAUUUAUGCUAAUGAUAUGGUUCUUACUUUUUCAUGGCCAAACAUGGACUUGGAAUUAAUCAAGGGGAUCCUUAAGUUAGUGAAGCAUCAGGUUUAGACAACAAUACUAGCAAGUUUUUUGUGAGCCCCAUACAGUGCCGAGAACAUGAUAGGGAAUUGGGGUAACCUUCCUUCCCUUGCAAGGUUCAAGAAAUUUCCUGUAAAUAUCUUGGACUACCAUUGUCAAUAAAAAAACUUCCCAAUGCUGAAUUCUAUGCGAUUGUUGACAGGAUUGCUGAUAACCUGUCUAGGUAGAAGGCAGCCAUGGUGCACCAGGCAAGGGAGGGCUACCCUUGUCCGCAGUGGCGAAGCUAGAGCUAUUUAGAGGGUGGUGCAUUUUUCUUGUAGAUGUAAAAAUAUAAGCAACAACCAUGGUGAAAAUUUAAUUUUAGUAGUGAUUUUUUAAAUUCUUGUGGGUGCAUUUGCACCCACAAGCUAUAACAUAGCUUCGCCACUGCUUGUCCGUUCAGUGCUUAUAUCCAUAGUCCAUACAUAUUUAUCAGCUAUUUGUCUUGGAGUUAACUAAAUGGGUUAUUAAGGCAAUCGAUAAGAUCAGGUGAGCCUUCAUGUGGAAAGGGUGCAAGGAGGUUAAUGGAGGCCAUUGCCUUGUUGCUUCGGACCAGGUCAAAAGGCCAACUGAUCUUGGAGGAUUAAGUAUUCUUGAGUUGAGUUGCUAGGCUGGGCACUGAAAACGAGAUAGCUAUGGCUAAAAAGGAUUCAACCUGAGCGUCCAUGGGCUAAUCUUCAUUCAAGGGAAAAUUGGAUCUAUGCCAUCAAAAGAACCUAUUGUUAGAUAUAUACCAUCAAAGAAUCCAGUUUAGAUAUGUACCAGCAAAAGGAUGGAGAUGCUAUAGAACCAUUCUGUUAACUUCCCUUACCAUGAUUGGCAGUUCUUUGUUUUUUUAUGGAUUUAGUAUAUGUAUAAAGUCCCAAUUUUGCCCUUUCAUGAAAACAACUAGUGGAUCUGUAUCAAGACGGGAUCACUGGAGACGGGAGGUCAAUCCACACGAAGUGGCCAGCAGCGCCUCUUCUCAGCAGCUUCUCUGGCAGCACGCUCCCCAGCAAUGUGAUUCCAGUUUCCAGGUAGCCCGCCACCUGCACCCGAGGCUCCGCACUCCCCUCCAUGGCUCCACUGGAGACUGAUCCACGCGAAGGAGCGACCGGUGCUGUAUCUCCUAAGAAGUGACAUAUUUUGAUGGUACGUAUCUAAACUGGAUUCUUUUGAUGGUAUAUAUCUAAAAAAAUGGUCCUUUUGAUGGUACAAAUCCAAUUUUACAAUCUCACUUGGUUGCAAUGUUCUCUCAGUCAUUUCGAUUGUCAGAGAUGGCAGCAGGAAAUUCUUUUGGCUUGACAAAUGGUUGCAUGGGAUUAUCCCUGUCAGUCCUUGCUCCGGCUUUUUGUAAGCAUGUGCAGAAGAGAGCAUUGAAGCAAAGAACAGUGCAGGAGGCACUAACUGAUGGUACUGGAUCCAGGACAUUAGAGGUGAUCUGUCAAUAGAGGCCUUGCUGGAAUACCUUCAGUUAUGGGAGAUUUUAUCUAUGGUUAAUCUCUCUGUUGGAGUUGAAUGAGGAACUGAGGAUCAACACACUUGGUCACCAAUGCCAUCAUCUUCCUCGAGAGAGAUCAUGACCAAGUCAGCCUAUUGUCACUUCUUGGGGGCUGUUGAUUUUGAACCAUGGAAGGAAAUUUGGAAAACCUGGGCAUGCCUGUUCUUAAGACAAGUGUGGUUAGUUGUGUUGUCCUUUGUUAGUCUGCCGUCUUUGCUGAAUGGUAGCGCUAAGCUAGGCAAAAAGUGGCUAAGCACAAGGGCCUCAACCCUAUAGUUGUGUUAGUCACUUAGUUACUUGGUGGAUUUAGAAACAUAGGAACAGCUGUGUUUUUGAGGGGGGGGGCUCACCUAGGCUUAAUGUCGUACAGAACAUUAAAGAUGAGGCCCAUUUAUGGUGUAUGGCUAUGGCAAGGGCCAAAGAUCUCAUGGGCAUUUGACCAUAGGAGUUGGGUAUGGCGUAUGGGCCAUUGGUUGUAGCUUUUAUUCUUUCUUGGCAACCCUUCUGUACUAGAAGCAACCUUAUUGGGCUUGUAUGAGUUUUCUUAGACUCCUUUUUCUCUCUUUCUUAAUAUAAUGAUGUGCAGAUCUCCUGCAUUUUUUAGGGGAAAAAACUAUACAUGGACGAUGUGAGUUGUGAGUUAUGGACAAAUAUUACAAGACAAACUACAAAAUAAUAAAUGUGAUGUUGUUUCAACAAGCAAAUGUACUUUUUUUUCUUUUCAGAUGUAACAAACAUCUAGUCACAUAAUCAACUGGAUAUCUUCAUAAAAGACGCAUACUCAACACUAUUUUGUUUGAUCUUAGAGUUAAUAGCGGACAAAUCAAAUUGAAGAAGUAAGACAAUUCAAUACCUGAUGGUGCUCAUGUUCAUAGAAACAAUUACUUCUUCCUCUGGUGAGAGAUCAAGUCUCAGUGGCCUGCAUUUAGAUAUACCCACAAAUACCCAACAGAAGUGAGGCAUAUGGCAAUUUUGGCUAAUGGUAUGGAAAAGUAUUUUGCCAACAUUAUGGAUCCAUACUUGGAAACAUUCAAAACACACAAAGUUUAGAGUUCAAUGCCUAGAAAUAGCAGGCAAAAAUAAUGGAUUCGUUUACUUACUGGAGAAGAGGCUGUAUGUUUAAAGUUGUAGACUGUGAAAGGCACUCAAAGUUGUACUUCUCAUCAGCAGCAUGCUAAUAACAAAAACAGAACUUCAAUCAAUGCAUCUUGCAAGUUGCAACUCGCAUUUGGGUUUGUAUGAUGGUGUUACAACAUUCCACGAAAAACUACAAUAAGCUACCUGAUCUACAAUAAACAGAUCCUGGUCGAGCUUUCCAAUGAUAAAACCAAGAUUAAAUUGCCCAACAACCUAACAGAUGAAAUAGUUAGUUCUACAAAAUAAUUGUAUAAAUUUCACGCAAUCAAUACUUUUAAAAAUUGAAUAUGUAUCAAGCAAAUAAAGUAAUAGGUUAUAAAUAUUCGAAUAAGAUGAGAGGAGGAUGGAUAAUUAUAUGUAUUGAACAGUCCCCAACGGGGAUAUAUGUAGUAUGUGGAACUCACCAAACCCUAGAUUAGAUCAAUGACCAUUUUACCCUUAACAGUAGUAAAAAGAAUCUUUUAGUUCUAGAAAUUCACUUUCCAGUUUUCUUGUAAGCUACUUUCCAAGUUUUCAAGAAUUUGGCAAUACUGAGUGGCAACUGUCAACGUGUCCAAAUUUGACACAGAAAAAAAAAUCAUCAACGUACUCCAACAUAUCUUGACAGUACAAUUUGAGGAGGUACUCCAACAUAUCUUGACAAUAUAAUUUGAGGAGGGACCUGCGGUGAGUUUACUAGUAUCGUGGGUGGUGGGUUAGCCAACCUGGGCUUCCUCCCUUCUACAAAAUCAUUGGAAGGAGUGUCUAUCCCUUUCAACCUCAUUUAAUAGUAUAAAAUCAUAGUUCUUAAGGCGUAAAGGUGAGGCAUGACAAUGCGCCACCGCCUGGACGCCUAGGCGCCCGCCUUGCCCGCCUAGGCGACCAUUUUGCAAGGCGCUGGGGGGGGGGGGGGGGGGGGGGUCGCAGGCGUCGCCUAGGCGACACCUUAAGAACACUGUAUCAAAUAACAUGGAACCUUAACAAAAAGGAGCACCAAUAUUAAAAUAUAUAUAUCAAGCACCUCCAUUUCUCCAAAAUCAUCUUUACUGAAAAGCCUGUCCAACUCAUUGGUGGCUGCAGCUAAUGAAUUUGAUUUUGCCUCGUCAGCUAAGGGUACAAUAAUAUCCAGUGUUGCAGCUUUAUAGCACCUACAUUAAGGAAAGUGAAACUAUACAUUACAAAAAUAAUAACACAAAUCCUGAUGAUAACAGAAGUUGUUUGUGGUAACAGCAAGAAUGUUACCUUGUUGUUUUCUCAAGACAAUAUGGUUUAUUUGUAUGGGAUACCAUAUAACCAUUCUUUCUUCUUCUCCUAAGCUCGGCAACUGUAAACUGAAUAAUGGGAUACUGUACAGGUGCAUAACAUACUACAGCACCAUCAUCAUAAUCCUGAGCAUCAGGCAAAGGACUAUCAGCCGAUGCAUUCUGAUGUCGUGAUUCUGAAUAUUUGUUAGGAGCACCAGACGCUGAAAAGCAUCGACCACGAUGUUCAUCCUGCAAGGGUUUGGCAGUUAAUCUUACAAAUAAAGUGAUAAAAAGAGUAAAAGACCCCCAAGAAAAACUAUGAGUUAGCUUCAUACUGAAUCAUAACAUAUCAAAUUAAGAAACUAUUCCAGAAGCCAUUCCUAUUAUUUACAUAACCAAAACCAAUAAGUGAGUUACAAAAUACCAAAAUUAGAUUGGUGAUGCCUAAUCAAUUUACAAACAAGAAAAUCACCAUGAACUCUAAAUGUAAGACCAGCAGGCAAAGCAUUUAACAAGAGAAGACUUAAGAAUAAAGGUGAGCAAGCAACAUAAGAACAGGAACACGUAUACUUUAUUGGCAGAAGUCCAAAUAUAAUUGAAGCCUCAAAAACUCUAUCUAAUAGCAAACAAUUUGCCUACCACAUCAGAUUCUGUAGUGUGAACAUCCCAUGGACCUGAUACCUCCGCCCCAAGGGUCACAAUACUAGGUUGUUUAGAAUGCUGUGGUGAAACAUCUGUCCUCACAGAUCCAAAAGAUUGUGGGAGAUGCUGUUUUAAAGAGUUUGUUUCCAGAGGUAAAUUGAACUCAGGAAUAUUGUUCGUGCUUGAGCUUAAUGAAGGUGCUGAAUUUGCUUCUAAACUUGCUCCCCUCACCUGUUCUGAGUUUGUCCCUCUUCUCAACACUGGGGUUUCGGAAAUAAAGGUGCUGUCAUCGUGCUUCUGCUUAUUUGGUGAUGCGAAGUCAACAUCUGAACUUGUUCUCCUGUCUAGUUCAGAGCACGUCCCACUUCUCAGCACUGGAGCUUCAGAAAUAAUGCAAUCAUCUUCACGGUUCUGCUUUUCUGGUGUAACAAAGUUUGAUUCUAAACUUGAUCUCCUCACUUGUUCUGAGCAUGUCCCUCUUCUCAGCACUGGAGUUUCAGAAAUAAGAGUGCAGUCGUCUUCAUGCUUCCGCUUGUUUAGUGAUACAAAGUUCAUAAGAGAAGACUGAAUGGUACUUGAAUGAGUAGAUUUUGCAGCAAGCCCAGUUCUGAAACGAUUUGUUCCCGAUGCAAAACUAUUUCCUUCUUUAGGCAAUCUUUUUGGCUGGUCAUAUGCAAAGGAUGGAAGCCAAGCAGAUGAUUUAUCAGCCUGAGUGGCUGUGCCUCUUGACAAGGGGCUUGCAUCUCUAGACGUUGCUUCAAUGGCUACCUUUGCCACUGAAGAAGGCAAUUUCUGGUUCUCUGGGGAAACAUGGUCCUCACUGUCUGUUUCUUCAUCUUCAUCAAUAUUGUUGGAAGCUGAAACAUUUGCCAUUGUGAUAGCAUUUGUGUCUUCAUUAUGCCCAUCAGUAACAGCAUCCCCUUCCUUUUCAGGAUCUUUGAUGUGAUUGACUGAGAAACUGCAUUGUAGAGGGGAGUACAGAUUUUCAACAGCUUCACGUAAAGACUGCAGAAUCAAGCUCUCGGACGAGAAGAAAACUUUUCUCUUAUCAGGUGCAACAUUCACAUCGUAGGAUGUAGUUGGAAUACGGAAAUCCAGGAUAACCACAGGAUAUUGCUUUGCAUUUGAACUUUUGUAUAGCUCGUUGACAAGUUUAGUGACCUUUGGCAUAUCAAUAGGUCUGCCAUUCACAUAGAAAAAUUGUCUAUCUCCUGAACUGCGGCCAGUACCAGGUCCAGGUUUUGAAAGAAAGCCCUCUAUUUGGCAGCCAUCCGAGGUGGUAACACUGAAGGGCUCCAGACAUUUGAAAGUAUUUGGACCAAAUACAGUAAUAAUAUUGUCUUUCAUAGAACUGCUUCCUUGAGUUCUAAGCACAACCAUUUUUGAAUUUUUUCCAACAGUAUUAGUGCAGAGUAAUCUGACCCCUUUGGCGAUCAAGGCAUAAGCCUAACACAGGUAAGAUGUAAGAAUUAGUAACAAAGCUAGGGGGCAGCUACCUUAAUCAUUUGGCAAGUUCCUCGGCAUCAAACAUACCAAAAAGAACUUACAAACUGAAACAUAAAAACUCACGUUCAACAGAGAGAUCACUUUCCCAUACUCCUUCCGAAUGUUCCUGCUAAACUCCUUGCUCCGGACCGGCAAGGUGGAGAACAAUUUUUCCACUGUCACCGUGGUUCCAACCUGCCGUGCCGUCUUCCUCUCACUAACCACCACGCCCGAGUGCUCAAACUCCAAAUGGGUCGCAACAGGCUCAUCCUUGCUCCUCGUCUCAACCGUCAGUUUCCCCAGCGCGCAGAGCGAGCUCAGAGCUUCACCCCGGAACCCGAAGGUCACCACAGAUCCGAGGUCGGAGAAAUCCGAUAUCUUCGACGUGUGGUGCUUAAGAGCGAGAGCCUAUUAAAGUGUCAGCAACAUGGUUAGCGACUAGCAAUUGGUGCCAACGUCUACAGCAGCGAAAUGGGGGGAAUUGGUGACUCCACGCAUUGGAGCAGCUACCGCCCUCACCUGGAAGUUAGAGGGAGAUAUGCCGCAUCCGUUGUCGACGACCUUGAACCACUCCUCGCCGUAGGCCUUGAGGCUGACCUCGACGGAGGUGGCGCCGGCGUCGAGGCUGUUCUCGACGAGCUCCUUGACGGCGGAGGAAAGGUCGAAGAUGACCUGGCCAGAGCAGAUGCGGUGCACCACCGCCUUACUGAUUGGCUUGAUCGCCGGCGAGGAUUCUCCGCGCCCGUCGCCUCCCCCUCCUCCUCCUCCCGCCAUUCCCCGCCUAAACCCUACGCCUCGCGGUGGAGGCUGGAGAGGAAGGGGGGUUUUCGGCGUCGCCUUCCUCUCGAACCCGCGCCACUGGGCAAAGGAAAUCCGCAAGCGGUUGGUUCGCCAAAGGAGUGGCGACACAUCUCCCUCGGUUGGGCCUUCAAGUGGGCUCGACCAAUCUCGGCCGCAAACCGGCCUUUUGUAUAAAGAAGUUUCAGGUCCACUUCUAUCCGUUACUCACAUCAUCCAAAAUAACUAUUGUUUUUAUUUCCCGAUAAAAUUUUUAAUUAAAUAUAUAUUAAAAAUAUUAAUACUAAUAGUACAUAAUUAAUAUCAUUAAAAAGUUUUUUUAAAACUAAUUUUUUAACAAAUUUAGUUGGAGAUAAAAACGUUGUACUUAUUUUUUAUAGAUCUCAUCAAACUUGUGACAUGAAAACAUAAAACGACAGUUAUUUUUGAGACGGAGAAAGUUCGUUUCAAAUUAUAUUAGGAGGAUUCCCCACAUGUUGCCGCGGGUAUGAAGAAAAAAUAUAAGUAGGUUAGAAUAUUAAUCACUAAGAAUCAGAAGAUGUGUAUGUAUGAUGUUGGUAAUGCAACAAUAUAUGUUAGUAAACGUUAUGGUUUGCUAAUAUGAAUAGUUUAAAUAAAGAUAUAAUGGUAUGUGAUAGUUUGAUGUGUUAGUGAAUGCUGAUGUGGACACUUUGUAUGGUGAGAUAGUUGAAUGUGCUAUGUGCUGGUAGAAUGUUCUAGUGGAUAUUAGUGUAGACACUUUGCAUGGCAAGAAAAAUAGCUAGUGGAAUUUAUCUUUAUAAGAGAUAUAGAUAGAUUGAACGUUUUGAAUUUUUUUAAUACAUUGUGUCUAAAUAUAUAGAAAAAUAUAUCUAAAAAACUAAAAUGUCUUAUAAUUUAAAAUAAAUUGAGUACUUAGGAUCCUCAUGUUAAAAAAAGAUAUGUUUACCUGUGCUUUUGAAAAACAGAAAUUUUGCAAAUGCCCGUACACAUAUAAUAUUUUAUAAGAAUCGGUUCAAAUUUUCAUGGAAGAUAUAGAUGGGAGGAUCUGCAAUCCAAAUGGGCACUAAAUUAGGGCCUUUUGCAGAACACACAAAAUUGUUCAAACAUAUUUUGAGUUAGCGCACGGAUGCUCACAUGUCUUACCAUUAUGAAUACAGGUAUACAAUACAAACUCUACUAUAGUAGAGCUUUAAGAGAUUGAGUAGGUAUUUGACAAGCAUAUGCAUAUCACCUACUACUACGGUGCUACAUAAUGAAUAUCAUUGUUCUUUCCGAAAAUAAGUCAACUUAAAUAAAGGUGCGGAAAACUUUAUCAAAAUAAAUAAUCUAACUAGAGCUACCCUUGUUUCAUAGCGGAUGUUUAUAUGCAUGCACAAUAAUCUCUAUAAACACAUAUAAACAAACACUUCCUCCAUUCCUAAGUAAAUCAACUUCAAGAGUUCUUUUAAGUUAAUCUUUUUUGUAUUAACUAAAUUUAUAGUAAAACACAAUAAUAGUGACACUAAAAUAGUAUAUUAUAAAAAUGUAGUCUAUGAUGUAUCUCAUAAUACUAAUCUAGUGUCAUAAAUGUUUACACUCCUUUUUAGAAACUCAAUUAAAGUUAAAGAAAAGUUUGACUUAUAAAUCAUUCUAGGAAUUGAUUUAUUAAAAAACAGAUCAUCCCUAGACUAUUGUUCAUGGUCAUAUUUCUGUUAUAACCGCUAUAUUGGUAGCACCGCUAGAUUAGACCCUAUUUGGAGUUUCUUCAUUGACUUCGGGAGCCGUUUUUCAUCAAAUAGGGUAAAAUAUAACGGCUUAAAGGUUCAAAGACUGAGAUGGAGCUGAAGUAAUGGCUUCACCUUGUUCUAAGGGCACUCACAAUGCAAGACUCUAUCACAGAGUCCAAGACAAUUAACUACAUAUUAUUUAUGGUAUUUUGCUGAUGUGGCAGCAUAUUUAUUGCAGAAAGAGAUAGAAAAAAUAAGACUCCAAGUCUUAUUUAGACUUCAAGUCCACAUUGUUCGAGAUACUAAAUAACUUUAGACUCUAUGAUAGAGUCUGCAUUGUGAGUGCCCUAAUGGAGCCCUACAUAGGAUCCCGUGAGAACAUUAAAGUUCUACAUGUGAAGUUCUUUUGUCAAAUGAUUUAUCAAAACAACUUUAGCUCUAACUAUAGAGCUAUUUAUAGAGUUGAAACAAAAAUAAAAGAUUUUACUAGUGAAGUGAAGCUAUGUCAAACGAGCAUAUGAUGUAGGCAUAUAGUGCUUCAGAGUGGCAGUAUGUCAAACGAGCAUAUGAUGUAGGCAUAUAGCGCUUCAGAGUGGCAGAUCUGAAGCGAGCUGAUUUAUAGUGUUUAUGACCGAUUAUCGACCCAGUACCUACUCACUAGAUUCACGUGCAUUUAGGUGUUGUUUAGUUUUCAUUUUUUUUUAAAUUUCUCGUUACACCAAAUCUUGUGGCACAUACAUGGAACAUUAAAUAUAGAUAAAAAAAUACUCCCUCCGUCCCUAAAAGCUGUAACUUAUAGAGUUGUCCUAAGUCAAACUUUUAAAACCAUGGAACAUUAAAUAUAGAUAAAAAAAUACUCCCUCCGUCCCUAAAAGCUGUAACUUAUAGAGUUGUCCUAAGUCAAACUUUUAAAACUUUGACCAAAUUUAUAGAGAAAAGCACUAAGAUUUAUAGUACCAAAUUAAUACCAUUAGAUUUAUCAUUGAAUAUAUUUUUAUAAGAUACUUAUUUUAUAUUAUACAUGUUGAUGCUUUUUUUAUAAAGUUAGUCAAAAUUAAAUAAGUUUGACUGACACGGAUUCUAGAAAUUGAAGCUUUCAGAGACAGAGGGAGUAACUAAUUAUAUAGUUCGUCCAUAAUUUACGAGACGAAUCUUCUGAACCUAAUAAAAGUGCUGCAAUACCUAAUACUAACAAAAUUUAUCAACUAAACAAGGCCUUACUUUUUGUACCAUUUUAUAUUUUUUUAAAAAAAUAAAAGACAAAGCAAAGUCAGCUUGAAAAUACUCAGUCACAGCCAAAAGAGCCCAAGAAAGAACCGACCAAUGCUACGUAGACAGUAGUACAGGCCAGUUGUGGUCCAUGUCGCCCGCAGGACGAAAGGCUUUUUUUUUUUUUUGAGACAACGAAAGGCUGAAAGCUGAAACCAUCCUGUUGCCCACCGGAUUAUCGUAGCGCGUCGUCCAGGGUCAAACCAAACUGCUGAGCGGGUAGAGCACAUGGGCACAAGGCCGACUUGGCCGCUACCGCGUCCCGUCCAAAGAACGGGGCGAACGUGACGAGUCCAAAGCACAGGACUCCGGCAACGGCCGCCGCCAGUCCACCCGUGCGGCACUGCGGCGUGCGGGGUGCGGCCCGAGCCGCGCGGGGCGUUCCCGCCCGGCGCUAUCUGUUUUGGAUUCGUUUGGACUGGGACGGUGGGCGCUGGCACGGUCCCGGGUUCACCGCCUGUGACCCGUGUUUGACCCCCGCCCCCACCCAAAUGUGACGUUCUCGCGUUGGUUUUGGGCUUCUUUGCAAUUCACAAAUCACACCUUCCUCGGCUGCUAAUUUAUGUAUAGCUCAUAGCCGCAAGAUGGCAUAAUAUUAAUAUUAAUAGGCUGCCCCCGGAUGGCCAUCGAUCUGGUUUUCCCCCUCAAAUUUCGGUUACUAAUAAAAAAACUCAACCAAUUGAUUAACAAAAGUUAUCAAGACCAAGCAAAUUUUGUAUUCGGUUAGUUCGGCCAGGAACCAUGCAACAAGAAAAAAAAAGGAAACUCGAUAAGUGGCAUCACCGCUCGAUCAACACGUCUCUACAUGACAUAUUUGUUUUGUAGAGAAAUAUUGUUAUUGCUGAAGAAGCCGACCAGGUGUUCACCACGACACCAUCUAACCACCAUGCCCAUGGAAGUCGGUGACAUGCACUGAUAGACUAGAUAAGGAAGGAGCUCGCGACACCACAACCUCUUCGGUAGACAACCCACGUUGAUCGUGGUAGAGUGAGUCGAAGAUUAGAGGAGGUGCCACCAUCACCGUUGGAGAGGCAUAUCGCGAGAAAAAGGUGCUCCAACUCUAAGUGGGGGGAGAAUAUAGGUUGGAAUGGGUAUUGCUACCACUACUAGAGAGGUAUCGCUAGAAGGGGCAAUGCUGACCAAACUUGAGUGCAAAGAGUGUAGAAAUAAACAUAACCGCCGCCGCUUCCUAGGUUUUUGGGGUUAGGUGUACGAAUGAAAUGGAAAGUUGUGAGUGACAUUAGAAGGCUUGUAAAGGGAGGGGUGAGUUUAUUCGAUCAACAGAGAAGAAGAGUUACAUAUAGCUAGGACCAAUGCUCAUUUAUGUGCUUCUUUCUUAUAAUCUCAUAUUCUUCGUUUGGUUCGGUUAACUAAGGUAUAAAACCAAAUUAACUAAUAGAAAUUUGGUUAUCUAAUAUUCAAGAUUGAAAUACAAUACAAAUUAUGAUUGUAGUCUCGCCUUUUUCCACUUCUAAGGAAGGCAACUACCUUUUAUUUAUAUUAGAAAACAGUCAUAACACUCAUAUCCGAUCAUUAGAUUAAAUAACUUCAGUUGAAUCAUAUCAUUGAUUAAUUUGUAUACCUACUUCAACAACAUAGUCUAUUAAAAUUUAAGACUCGUUUACUACAACUAGUUUUGGUCUACUACAAAACAAUAAUGGCUCUUUGUUUGGUCAUAAGGAAAGAUGAAGAAAAAAAAGAAGAGAAUUAUUGUGUGACUCAUCAUGUGUUUGGAGGAACGAGCAAUCCCACCUGUGUCUAUCCCCACCUCCCAUCGCUGCUUGUGCCGGUGGCGCUCAACUGCCUUGUCGCCCUGCUUGCUGUUCGCCACUCAUCGUCAGACCAACUUGCCGACUCAUUUUUAGGGUUUAGAGUUGAGGAAGAGUUCUAAACCCUAACCCGCCUCUAGUGAGGCGGAGGUGCAGGUGCCAACGCGACCGUUGUGUGGUGUCGCAAACCCAUAAUAACCGCGCUUUAGGCCCUGUUUAGUUCCUCACCAAAAAAAUUUUCAUCCAUCCCAUCGAAUCUUUGGACACAUGCAUGAAACAUUAAAUGUAGAUAAACAAAUAAACUAAUUACACAGUUUGGUUGAAAAUCGCGAGACGAAUCUUUUAAGACUAGUUAGUCCAUGAUUAGCCUUAAGUGCUACAGUAACCUACAUGUGCUAAUGACAGAUUAAUUAUACUUAAUAGAUUUGUCUUGCAGUUUUCAAACGAGCUAUGUAAUUUGUUUUUUUAUUAGUUUCUAAAAACCUCUCCAACAUGCUUCCGACAUAUCCGAUGUGACAUCAAAAAAUUUUCAUCCUCAAUCUAAACAGAGCCUUAGAGCUUGGGAAAGAAAAAAAAAUGAAAUAGUUUUUUUAAUUACAAAACGCAACAUGUGAAAGGAAUCGUACCACGUGUGGAUACUAAGCGAAUUCUAACAUAUGUGAAGGACUAAAAACGAACGACGCUCUGGUAUAUAAGAAGAGCCAGACAUACUUUCCCUCAUCAAAGCCGGGAAGAGAAAAAUAACUCCGAAAAGAAAGAGACGCCGAAAAUUCGAAGGGGAAGGGGAAAGCAAAGCAAAUGGCGGAGGCCGAGGGAAAAGCAAAGCAAAUGGCGGAGGGCCCGAGCAAGAUCGAAUCCAUGAGGAAGUGGGUCGUCGACCACAAGCUCCGAGCCGUAGGUAUGCCUCAUCAGCUUUCCCACGGAUUCGUUUUCUUCGCCCGGAUCUAGUUAUUCGGCGUUGGUUUCUGAUGUAUCCUAAAUCUCUGCAAUUUCUUUCUUACAUCUGUUUUUAAUGUUAUUAACGGAGUUUCGAAAUUUGUAGUAUGAAAAUCUAUCACGAAUUUAUGACCUAGUUAUUGUUUUCCUCGUGUAAUUUGGGGGAAAAGCAGUAUUUUAGAUUAUUCCACCUGCUGGAUGCAAAGUGUUCUGAUUGUCGCGAUGUUUCUUUUUCUUGAGAAAAGGUUGCCUCUGGCUAGGUGGGAUCAGCAGUUCGAUCGCCUACAACUGGUCGCGGCCCAAUAUGAAGACUAGCGUCAAGAUCAUCCACGCAAGGUUUGUUUCAUUUCCCAUGUAGUUUCACUACGUUUCUGAGUGUUUAUCAUUACAAUGUAGGCAGUCUUGUCUAUCAUAGGCAAGAUACUGCAUUCGAUUCUUUUUUUUUCUUGAUGAAGAUGCAAUUAACUAGAUGGUUUUGACCAUUUCUUAGCAAACUAUGGUUUCUAAAUGCUACAACUACCACAGCUAAAAAGGUUGGUUUUUCAUAUGUGUGAUGUGUGAACGAUUGUUUCCUGAAACGCCAAGGAGCUAAAUGUGAAUUAUGAACAGACCCAGUCAACUUAGAUUUUAGCUAUAUCUAUAUGAAGCUUGGGAAGACUUCCCUUAUGUGAGUUUAUGGAAAUUCCUGUAAGGAAAUAACUUAAUAUGCAUAUUCAGCUUUGUAAUUGCUAACAUAUCAGCCACAGUUGGUUGGUAGGGCUUAUUUAACAUCAGAGGGAAAGGAUAACGAUCAGGCAAAUUUUGGAUUUCUCUUACUGACUGCAGGAAAAUUGCUAUUUUUAUUUGUUGUAAUUGUUUCCAAGUGAUUCUAAAAUAGGUGGUGUUCGGCAUAAUUGCAGUGCAUGGGUUUAUAAGGCUGCACAGUUGUUUGUUCUGUGAAAGGUUUAGUUUCACAGUUUUUGUUCAGGUUUGGGUGUCAGACUGAUAGCAUUAUGCUAUUUUGUUCAAGGAGCAGUUUAACUCCAGAUCAUUCUGGAUGGAAGUUAAACUUUAGGAGCUUAUUUUUUUGAAACAAAACUUUAUGAGCUUAUUAGUUGUUGUGCACUUGCACUUGAUGAUCCACUUAUUUUUGUUAGGUAUACAGACUUUAUGUGUUCCUUUCUGUUGUUAGUAAUUUAUUAGGUUCUUGCUAGUUUGCUGGUAUUUGCUUGAUACAAGUGCAGGCUGUAUAAGUGGUACUUUAGGCAACCUCUUGUCACUUGUAAAGUUGGAAGAGUAUCAAGCUCUGUCUGUUUAUCUGCGCACCUCAAUGCAUUUGCUUAUGCUCAUCGACCACCCAGCCUAGAAAGAACCUCAGCAAAUAGCGCCGUCCGAUCCUUAAUGAGAAUGAGUGUCCUACUUUAGGUUCGAAUAUUCUUUACCUAUAAAACUGCACUCUUUAGCUGCCAAUCCUAAUUGUUAAUUGGAGCUGAACAUGUGUUUGGCACUUUGUCUGUGUGUGCACUAUGGUCACAUCACCAAACUCAGCACAUGUUUGAUAUGUCUCUACUCCUGCCAACAUUAAGCAGAUGUUGCACGUUUUUGUGCCAUAUGUGACCAAACCAGACUGCCGCCAUAUUGAUGGCCCCAGUUUUUGGCAAUUUUUGUAGGGCUCUGGUGAUGAAAUUGGUGGAUCAAAAUGCCAAAUUUAAUUUCUAAUAUGUGGAUCUUCAAUGUUUUUCCAACUUUGCAAGCUUAGUUACCACAGUUUUAGUCCGUUGAUGCAUAGAACUGCAUAGGAAAGAUCAAAUCCUUGAUAAUCUUUCUUCUUUCACCGUGGCUCUUGAAAAGGGGCAGCAAUCUUGCCCCCAAUGCAGUAUGCAAAAAGGAUAUUUAAAUAAACAUAGAUUUUUUUGGAUAGAAUAUUAUGGACUCUUUAGAAGCUUUCUGUUCAUUUUGAUAGUUGUGUUUGGGUCUUAGCUCUUCAUAUGUUCAUGUAACACGUGUCAUCUUUCACUAUUUAUUUGCCUCUUAGGCUCCUUUUUAGUGCAAAUAUGUGAUGUAAUUCAUUGUGCUUUCUUCAUUGGCACUUCUUACCUUUCACUGUGCUCAAUAGAUCUGUUUAGAACAUGUUGAGGAUUUUAAAAAGAUAGUUUGCAUGUAAAUUUGGUACAAGCAUCCAACAGCAAAUUUGUAUGCUACUUUCUCCAUCCACAAAUAGAUGCAAUUCUCACAUUUCGAGGAGUCAAACGAUUUAAAGUUUGACCUAAUUAUAUAAAAAAGUACUAAUAUUUAUGACACAAAAGAAGUACCAUUAAAUUAACAAGAAAUGUAUUUUCGUUGUAGACCUUGCUAGAGACUAUUCACUUUUGACUAAUCCCAUAGUUGUAUCCUUUUGUGGACGGAGGGAGUAUUUGUUUUUUAGAUUACUGUUGCCUUGAGUGGGAAACCAUCCAAAGGCUGGAUGAAUGCCCGGAGCACCCAUUGCUGCCCAUAGGACAUAGCCAUUUCAUGUAUUGUGGUCGUGGAGUAUAGAAAUGGUAGCUCUUUUAGUAAAUUUUACUUCUAACUGGACUCAAUUAUGCUAAUUAUACUGUUGAUUUUUGCAGGUUGCAUGCACAAGGUCUAACCCUAGCUGCAUUAGUUGGUUCUGCAUGCGUGGAGUACUAUGACAAUAAGUAUGGUUCUUCUGGGCCAAAGGUGGACAAAUACACAAGCCAAUACCUGGCCCAUGCGCAUAAAGAUUAAGAUCUCCAUGUUGGUUCCUGCAUACCGGAUUAAUUUUGGACUCAACUCUGGGUGCUCAUGACCCGCCCGUCGAUGCUGGAUGUUUAUUCUUUUUGUUGUCUUAUUAAUUACAAAUUGAUGGUGUACUUACCAGGGAAAUGAUAAUGAGGGUAUAAUGCAGAUAUUGUCGUAUCUAACCUCACUUUGUUGACUCUCAGCAUCUUUGAAUAUUUUUAUAUUUUUUGAGAAAAGGAAAGGAGAUCCUGAUUUGUGCCUGAAUUUUGAAUUCUCUGUGCCCUGUAACUUUUGUUCUCUGUUCCUGUGCUUUAUGAUUACAAGGCAAAUGCAAAAAAGUUUUUAAGUUGAUAAUGUGGAGAUCGUGGAUUUGUAUGAUUAGGAUAUCAGAAUAGGAUUGUCUUGAACUUAUCAGCACAAUCUAUCAGUUUCUAUUUGCUUGAACUUAUCAGCACAAUCUAUUAGGUUGAUCGCACAAAAAAAAGGACAAUCUAUCAGGUAUAAUAUAAUGUUUUUUCUCCCAACAAAUAAGCCGAAUAAACACUAAUUGUUGUGUCACACUGAAUUUGUGUUGUCGCUUCACGUCUCUUGGAUCAAAGAUGCCCUUUUUAUGAAUCGACACGUCUCUUGGACAAAGAUGCCUUUUAUGAAUCAACGUACACAACGUAGACGGCAAUAGGCUGAUGUUGAUUUGACUUGAAAAUAAGUCCAUAAAAUCAUGCAACGCAAUUGUUCUUCUACACUCAGCCUCACAAUUGACAAGUUUUUACUUUACCCUGAAAAAUUAGUUCUCAAAUAUGUGAACUGAUACGUACACAGUGUAUUUAGGCCAUGUUUGAUUAGACUUGAUUUUUUUAUCACCCCAUCACAUCAAAUAUUUUGACACGUGCAUAAAGUACUAAAUAUAUAUUAUUUGCAAAAUUAAAACAACAGCUAGAGGAUAAUUUGCGAAUCUUUUGAGCCCAAUUAGUUCAUAAUUAGACAAUAAUUGUCAAAUAAAACGAAAUGCUACAGUGCCUGUCAAAUUUUAUCACUCCAAUCAAACACCCCCUUAUUUUCAUGGGAGACACAUUGGAUGAGCUAGAGUUUCACAAAUUAUGUCACCAAGGUGGCAAGGUCUAAUUGGCCUAUGUGUAUCCUCUUAAAAUUUGCAUGCCAGUAGCUCUUAACAUCUGUUAGCAGCUUUCACCUUACUGAUAGGUGCUAAUACGAUAAUAGGUAGCACACCUUAGCAGAUGACUUUUGAUACAAGGCUUAGAUGCGAGCUAUUGGCACAUUAGAUCCGAAUAUGACCUAAGCUAUGUUACUCUUCUUUAGAUAACGUGUUAGUGCAAAGUUUGGAGAACUUUUCACUUAAAUGGGCAAGUGCCACAUGCUUCAGAGAGCUUUCUGAUUUUAGAUGAGCUAGGGAUGGUAGACCUACGUAAACCCUAGAAGAUCAUUUGGUGGUGGCAUACUUAGUUCCAUCACUAGGGGCCAAUUUGUUUCUAUGGGAACAGGGACUAGAGACUUUAGUCCCUUCGAACCAAACAGGAGGAACUAAAAUAGAAACUAGAGACUAAUGGGUAGAAGUCCCUUGAGGUGAGGUUUAUUGGGACUUAUGAGACCAACUUUACAUCCCAUACCCCUCCCUCUCUCUCUCUCUCUCUCUCUCUCUCUCUCUCUCUCUCUCUCUCUCUCUCUCUCUCUCUCUCUCUCUCUCUCUCCUUCCUCACAGUCUCUCUCCUCCCCCACCCGAUGCGUCGCCCACCCCACGCCGCCCGAUGUGCCGCGCCCGCCCCACGCUGGCUGGGCCUCCCACCUUGCCAGUGCCGCACCCCACACUGGCCGAUGGCACAGAGCAAAGCCGAGCAGAGUGAAGGCAACGAUAACCUCGGCGCUCUAGCAACGCAGUGAUAGCAGAGAAGGGCGAGGAGGAGAGAGCAGGGGCGCAGGGCGGUGCUUGGCUCCGACGGACUCAAGGUCCGAGGAUGGCAGCGACGGUGAGGCAUUCGGCACCGGCGAACUAGAGGAAGGAGAGAGAAAGAGAAUAGAAGGGAGGGGCGUUUUGGUCUUUGUUCAGCAGCUUUAAUGCCCUUUAGUCCCUUUUAGUCUCUAGAACCAAACAAGUUAUUUAGUCCCUCUUUAGUCCUCUUUUAGUCUCUAGUCCCUAGUCCUUGGAACCAAACAAGCCCUAAUUAUAUGCAUCUAAAAUUCUAAAUGCCACAUGCUUGAGAGAACUUCUGAUUUUAGAUGAGCUAGGGAUGGGAGACCUAUGUAAACCCUAGAAGAUCAUCUGGUGGUGGCAUACUUAGUUCCAUCACUAGGGGCCAAUUUGUUUCUAUGGGAACAGGGACUAGAGACUUUAGUCCCUUUGAACCAAACAUGAGGGACUAAAAUAGAAACUAGAGACUAAUGAGUAGAAGUCCCUUGAGGUGAGGUUUAUUGGGACUUAUGAGACCAAAUUUACAGCCCAUACCCCUCCCUCUCCUCCCUCAAAGUCUCUCUCCUCCCCCACCUGAUGCGUCGCCCACUCCACGCCGCCCGAUGUGCUGCGCCCGCCCCACGCCGGUUGGGCCUCCCACCUCGCCAGCGCCGCACCCCACACUAGCCGAUGGCACAGAGCAAAGCUGAGCAGAGUGAGGGCGACAAUAACCUCGGCGCUCCGGCAACACGGUGACAGCAGAGAAGGGCAAGACAGAGAGAGCAGGGGCGCAGGGUGGUGCUUGGCUCUAACAGACUCAAAGGCCGAGGAUGACAGCGGCGGUGAGGGAUUCAGCACCAGCAAACCAGAGGAAGGAGAGAGAGAAAGAGAAUAGAAGGGAGGGGUGUUUUGGUCUUUGUUCAACAACUUUAAUGCCCUUUAGUCCCUUUUAGUCUCUAGAACCAAACAAGUUAUUUAGUCCCUCUUUUAGUCUUUAGUCCCUAGUCCUUGGAACCAAACAAGCCCUAAUUAUAUGCAUCUAAAAUUCUAAAGAUCACCUCCUUUCGCCCGUGCUAGUAAAUUGUUCUGUUCUUUGCACAUAAUCGCAAAAUGUUGAUAUGCAAAAUCUUCUUUUUCUAGUGUAGAGAUGAUGCACAUCCUUCUUUACCGGACCCUUAUCUAUCUUAUGUAUCUUCAAUGAAUAUAUAUCACAUCGUAGAUAUGGUUCAACGAUGAGUCAAGUCAAGUUGAGCUAUUUUUUUCUACGAUGACUUUAGUUAUCGCCGUGAUGAGAUCGUUGUUACAGGCAUCAACUUCAUCAACAAACGGCCAAAUCAUGGCCUUUAUUUGAAAGGGGAGGGGUGCUUCUGGGAGCCCCCUACAAGGACAACGACUAUGGAUCCUCGAUCUCAUCAUUGAUGGUCGCAGAGAGGAUUUCAAGCUAUUUGAGGUGAUGAAUCUGCAUCCUAUGUCGUAUCUGACGAUGCAACUGCUGAUAUUCUUUCGGCGAUUUAGAUACAUUUUGGAUUGGUUCCAAAGUGGUGAAUCUUACGGUAUGUCCAAUGUUUGGAGUUGGUCGUUGGAUUCGACAUAAGGACUACACUUUGGCUCAAACGUUUGAGGGAAGUCAUUGAGAAGAAAAUAAAGAAAGAAUCUGGAUAAAAUAUUAUGUAUUUUUUAUUUUAGUUUUUUUAUGUGUAAUUUGGGGAUAUACUAUACCAAGAAUUACUACAAGUCCCUCUCCCCUUGGGAAAAAAAUGAGCACAAGAUAGACAUACCCAAUGGAACUUAAGAUUGACAAAUCCAUAUAAUUCACCAUGUUGUAGUUGUAAAAAUGACCAGUCAUAUUAUUAUAAGAGUAAAAUGCACACCUAAGUCCUCAGACUUUGUGGGGGCAUUUCUAUCUAUGUCUUCAAACUAAAAAAAAUCUAUUUAGGUCUCCGAUCUAUUGCAGCCGUGCAGCAAAGCAAAGGUCCAAAACUCACUAUGUGAGUACCCGAUGAGAAUACCUUGAAAGUUUAAUGACCCCUGUGUAUUUUAGUUCUUAUUAUAAGGCCUUGUUGAGUUCACCCAAAAAUAAAUAAAAUUUUAAGAUUCCACGUCACAUCGAAUCUUAUGGCACAUGCAUGAAGCAUUAAAUAUAGACGAAAACAAAACUAAUUGCAUAGUUUGCCUGUAAAUCGCGAGAUGAAAUCUUUUAAGGCUAUUUAGUCCAUGAUUGAACAAUAAUUGACAAAUAAAAACGAAAGUACCAUAAUACCUAAAACCAAAAAAAAAUGGAACUGGCCUAACUCGAUGAACCCAGAUGAGAUGGUUUUGGUCACGUUCUGACAGCUCGAGAGGAAUAUUGUUGGAUGUCUUUGGCCCUGUUUGGUUGCUUUUGUUUCUUUUUAACUACCAUCAUAUUAAAUGUUUGAACACAUGCAUGAAGUACUAAAUAUAGACUAUUUAUAAAACUAAAAAUAAAAUUAGAAAAUAAUUUAUGAGACAAAUCUUUUAAACCUAAUUAAUCUAUAAUUAAACACUAAUUGUCAAACAAAAUAAAAAAUACUACAUUCUCUAUUAAAUUUUAAUACCCAACCAAACAUCUCCGGUUGUUCGAGAAGUUUCAGUAUAUAUACUGUCUUCCUUAUUUAUAGUUAGAGAUAGAAGCAGGUUAACCUACGAGCCUAUACAAAUUUAAUAGCACUUAUAAUUAAUUUUUUAAGUGGAGGGAUGAGCUAACACCCUCUUGCUUCAUUAUUUGUAUAAACUUCUUGUGAAAGAUUUGUACUCCCUCCGUCCACGAAAGAAUCAAUUCCUAGGAUCCGUGGCAGUCAAACUUUUUAAAGUUUGACUAACUUUAUAGAAAAGAGUAACAACAUCUAUAAUAUAAAAUGCACAUUAUAUGAAAAUAUAUUCUAUGAUGAAUCUAAUAAUACUAAUUUGAUACUAUAAAUCUUAGCAUUUUUUUCUAGAAAUUUGGUCAAAGUUUAAAAAAUUUGACUUAGAACAACUCUAGAAAUUGACUCUUUCGUGCACGGACGGAGUACCAUUUUCAUGUGCCUUGCCUCCGUCCGAUGCUCGAGGCGCUACGAUGACCUCCAUAGAACCUGACAGGCGGGCCCGUCACAUUCACCUGGCGCAUCCCCCUCCUGGAACCUUUCCCGCCUUCCCGGGAGGCGGCGGCUCGUUGUAGGAUGCCACGCCCACACCGAUGCGGACUCCGGGAACCAUCGGUUCGGCCCUCGCCCGCUUCGGCGCGUCGCGGUCGCUGCUCGCCGGAGCCCACCUCCACUCCCACCUCCUCAAGUCCGGCCUUCUCGCCAGCUACAGCAACCACCUCCUCUCUUUCUACUCCAGAUGCCGCCUCCCGAGCGCCGCACGCGCGGUGUUCGACGAAAUCCCUGACCCGUGCCACGUCUCUUGGUCCUCGCUCGUCACCGCCUACUCCAACAACGGCAUGCCGCGGGACGCACUCUGGGCGUUUCGGUCCAUGCGCGGGCGUGGCGUCCCUUGCAACGAGUACGCGCUCCCCAUCGUGCUCAAGUGUGCACCGGAUGUCAGGUUCGGCGCGCAGGUGCACGCACUGGCUGUGGCCACGAGGCUCAUCCAGGACGUCUUCGUCACCAACGCACUUGUGGCCAUGUAUGGUGGGUUCGGCAUGGUGGAUGAGGCCAAGAGGAUGUUCGAUGAGCCUGGAGGCGAGAGGAACGCCGUUUCUUGGAACGGCAUGAUAUCGGCGUACGUCAAGAAUGACCGGUGCAGGGAUGCCGUCGGGGUGUUCCGAGAAAUGGUGUGGAGUGGGGAGCGGCCGAACGAGUUUGGGUUCUCGUGUGUAGUGAACGCGUGCACAGGAUCGAGGGAUUGGGAGACUGGGAGGCAGGUGCACGGCAUGGUGGUGAGGACGGGAUAUGACAAGGAUGUGUUCACAGCAAAUGCUCUGGUUGACAUGUACUCGAAGCUGGGAGACAUUGAAAUGGCAGCGGUGGUUUUUGAGAAGAUACCUGCAGCAGACGUUGUCUCAUGGAAUGCUCUCAUUGCUGGGUGUGUAACUCAUGGGCAUGAUCACCGUGCACUGGAGCUGCUACUACAGAUGAAGCCUUUAGGAGUGGUGCCCAAUGUGUUCACGUUAUCUAGUGUUCUCAAGGCUUGUGCUGGUGCUGGUGCAUUCAAUUUGGGCCGGCAAAUCCAUGGGUUUAUGAUCAAGGCUGAUGCAGAUUCUGAUGAGUUUGUUGCUGUUGGCCUUGUUGACAUGUACGCAAAGGAUGGAUUCUUGGAUGACGCGAGGAAGGUGUUUGAUUUCAUGCCCCGAAGGGAUUUGAUUUUAUGGAAUGCACUGAUCUCAGGCUGCUCUCAUGACGGACGGCAUGGUGAGGUUCUGUCACUCUUUCAUAGGAUGAGGAAGGAGGGGCUUGACCUUGAUGUCAAUAGGACGACACUGGCUGCUGUUCUCAAGUCAACGGCGAGCUUGGAAGCAAUCUGUCACACAAAACAGGUUCAUGCUCUUGCAGAGAAGAUAGGGCUCCUAUCUGACUCUCAUGUCGUCAAUGGACUUAUUGAUUCAUACUGGAAGUGUGGUCGACUCGAUUAUGCGAUUAAGGUUUUUGAAGAAAGCUGUUCUGAUGACAUUAUAUCUUCUACGUCCAUGAUGACAGCUCUCUCACAGUGCGACCAUGGUGAGGAUGCAAUAAAGCUGUUUGUGCAGAUGUUAAGAAAAGGCCUCGAACCUGAUUCUUUUGUACUAAGUAGCCUCCUGAAUGCUUGUGCUAGUCUGUCAGCCUAUGAACAAGGGAAGCAAGUGCAUGCUCAUCUGAUUAAGAGGCAGUUCACAUCAGAUGUGUUUGCAGGGAAUGCUCUUGUGUACACUUAUGCAAAGUGUGGGAGCAUAGAGGAUGCAGACAUGGCAUUCUCUGGCCUGCCGGAGAAGGGAGUUGUCUCAUGGUCUGCAAUGAUUGGAGGGCUUGCACAGCAUGGACAUGGGAAGAGAGCAUUGGAAUUGUUCCAUAGAAUGCUCGAUGAGGGCGUUGCCCCAAACAACAUCACAUUGACCAGUGUUCUCUCUGCUUGUAACCAUGCUGGGCUUGUUGAUGACGCAAAGAAAUACUUUGAAUCUAUGAAGGAGGCGUUUGGAAUUGACAGGACUGAGGAACAUUACGCAUGCAUGAUUGAUAUUCUUGGCCGUGCAGGGAAACUAAAGGAUGCUAUGGAGCUUGUCAACAACAUGCCAUUCCAAGCGAAUGCUGCAGUUUGGGGUGCACUUCUAGGAGCCUCAAGAGUACACCGAGAUCCAGAGCUGGGAAGGAUGGCAGCUGAGAAGCUCUUCACCCUAGAACCUGAGAAGUCUGGCACACAUGUCCUGCUUGCAAACACUUAUGCUUCAGCAGGCAUGUGGGAUGAAAUGGCUAAGGUGCGGAAGUUAAUGAAAGACAGUAAUGUCAAGAAGGAGCCUGCCAUGAGCUGGGUUGAGAUAAAGGACAAGGUGCAUACUUUCAUUGUUGGUGACAAGAGCCAUCCUAGGACAAGAGAGAUAUAUGGAAAGCUAGCCGAAUUGGGAGAUCUGAUGAAUAAAGCUGGUUAUGUUCCAAAUGUGGAGGUUGAUCUGCAUGACGUAGACAGAAGCCAAAAGGAGCUGCUUCUUUCUCACCAUAGUGAGAGGCUGGCCGUUGCGUUUGCGCUGAUCAGCACCCCAUCUGGGGCCCCAAUCAGAGUCAAGAAGAAUCUGCGCAUAUGCAGAGACUGCCAUGUUGCAUUCAAGUUUAUUUCAAAGAUUGUUUCAAGGGAGAUUAUCAUCAGGGAUAUCAACCGGUUCCAUCAUUUCACAGAUGGGACAUGUUCUUGUGGUGAUUAUUGGUGAAAAUGGUUCAGCAGAUGAAAAUUUUGCAGCUUGUUGAGAAUUCUGAUGUUUAGAGCAGUUACAUGCCUUCAUGGAGGCUUAUAGUUUCACAAGAUUUUGUAGCCAAUCAGAUGAGUGAUGCAAUGCAUUUUUUUGUUUGGCAUGCCCAUAGCCAUGCAUUUUUGCAGUUAAAUCUGCAGUAGGCACUAAGCCAUAGCCGUUGUAGCAUAGCAAUAUUCCUCAUGUCAUGGCUUUUUAAACACUCCCAUUCAAUUAUUUUGGAUACAUCAAUGGGGACAAAAAACUUCAGUCAGAUCUUUCCCUAAGUAUUGGAUUCAGCUAUUGACAGUCUUCUCUCUGUGUAAUGUGUUUCUAUUUCUAUGGGAGGGGGCCGACCACUAUGUGUCUAUGUCAAUUGAAACGUUUGCCCAUUGAGAAGGAACCUUCAUUGCUUAAUAUUCAUGUGUAAACGCACAUCCUUCACAUAGCAAAACAGUGAACAAGAUUAGUUUCUUUUCUUUUUCUUUUUUUUUUGAAAGAGAGACUGUGGAGUAGAGCUCCCCAGUAUAUUAAACGCACAUCCUUCACAUAGCAAAACAGUGAACAAGAUUAGUUUCUUUUUUUUUUUUGAAAGAGAGACUGUGGAGUAGAGCUCCCCAGUAUAUUCGGCUUCACCCUAGCAUGAAUCAACAAAUAUAUUUUUUUUUCUUUUUUUAUUUCAAUUUCAAAUUAUGCCAGAUUGCUUGCCAAAAUUUACAGAUCUGUGAGCCACUCUGAUACAUACCAUUCUUACUUCUAAAACUGUUUUCUUGGAAAGAAAAAAUGCAUAUAUAAUAUGAUAUGAUGAGUUCGGAUUAAGUUGGUUAACAAAAUAGACAUGCUUCGUGAGAAAUGGUCUUCCACAGAUAUACAUAUACAUAUGCUCUACUGCCCUAGAUAAACUCACAGAUCACAAAUCAUGUGGGCAUGUAGCUAGAUAUCAAUGGCAGCAAAAAAGUCAUUUCCAAAUAAUAUAUACAUGAGCUCAUCACAGCCCAUAAGUUCUGCAUUCCAGGAAUACUCAGUGACAACUUAUAGAACUCUUCUUCUAUAGAAGGCUGACAAGGAGGUCGUAGCUGGUGUAUCUAAGCACCGAGGGGGACACAGACUACAAUCUAUUGUUCAUAGUUGAUUGAUUAUAUAGAUCCACAAAAGUAGACACACAAGUCCAAGAAUCCUCUAUGAGUAACACUAAGUUGCCUAUGCCUUCCUAGCUCCGCUUGUUUGUUGUGGGUUGGCUCUAGGAUCCAGCCUUCUCAAUCUCAUAUUGCGAACAAUAGCAGCUUGCUUCUGGCGAUGGCUGUAGCUCUUUCUUUUGCUGCACAGACAAAUGAGAGUUUGAAGUUCAAUAGAAAAGAAGGGAUAUGAAGUGCAAGCUUCCAAUCUGCCAUCUUAGCAAGAAUUUAAGGCAUCAUGCCAGAUAGUCAGCAAGAUUACACUGAAAAGGGACAAAAUCAAAGUUUUUUUGGCUCCUUUUCCUGUAGACCCAUCAUCUAUAAAUAGCUUAUGCAGUAUCUAUUCCAAAAAUAUAAAAUAUACUCAGAUCUACAAGAAUUAUUAUGCAGAUACUUUAGUACCUAAUUGAGACAGUUUUUUACCUAUCUAUGCAUAUAUAAUGUGAAAGAGAAAAGGAAUAUGGAAUACCUGAUAAAAAUAAGGCCAGCUGUAAGAACCAUUCCUCCAAUUGCCCAUGAAACUCUUUCACCGACAGGCAUUUCUCUUGCCCAUCUCUGAAAAUCUUGAACAUCCCAUGAAGCCACACCACUUAAUGUUGGACGUUCUUUUGAAGAAGUCCAUGAAUCAGAGAUGGAAUCCAAACUUGCUUUCCCACCAUAGCAGAAAGUGUCAUCAACUCCAUCAGAGCUGGUCUCAGAAACUUGAACAGAGAAACCAGCAAGACGGCAUAACUCUGUGCCAUUAGAGACCCAUUUAUGUGCUUUGCCACAAAGGAUGUCACCUAAACCACAAGGAGACAAGGCCUGACAUUGAAGUAACGAGCAUAUUCAGAACCAAACCAUGAAAUCAUAAUCAACAAAAAAAGGUCACGAGAUGAAGCUAAAAAUCUCUUAGCACAAGAAAAGGAAACUUCAGCAGAAUCAACAGCUAUUCAGAAUGUAGACAACAGACGGGGGCUAGAACAUGAUUGUUUAGUGUAUAAUUAUAAUCUGACCAUGGAACUAUCAAGCUUAAUCUAGCAGCAGCACUUGUACUUGUGUGUCAGUACAUGUUUGAGAUAUCAGUACCCACUUGUCUCAAUCAUGUCUCUUAAUCAGAGGGUUUACCUGUGUUUUCAUAUCUACAGAGAAGUAUGAUUCUGAACAAGCUUUGAAGACCAUAUCACAGAAUGAUGCGCAUACAACAGGAGGUCCAGGUCUGACACCCACUCGUGGAUCACAUAUUGAGCACUCGAGCAAUUCCCACAAAUGAAUACAUUCUUGACUGCCUUCACCAGUCAAUGCAAGGUUUCUCACUGAGACCAGAGCAGGAAAUGUCUGCGUCACAUCGCAACAUGUAUUCUGACGGAAUAUCCUACAAAGUGCUAGAUCUCUGCGCCCCUUGGGUGCUCUUCCUGGAGGCUUGCCUUCAGACGAGAAGGCAGGGAACCGUCCACCUGGUGAAACACAUACGCCUUUUGGUUGUCCUGGGGAGAAAAAAAAUCAAUAGACUAUCACUACCACAGUCAACACAUAAGGUAUGUGAUAUAAAUCAAUAGACUAUCACUACCACAGUCAUCUACUGAGAAAUUAGAAGCUUCAUCUAUCUUAAAUUCUUAACAAGGAGCAAUCAUUCAAUCUACAACCACAACAUUCAUAUAUAACCAAGACAAUCUGCAUAGCUCUUGCUCAUCAGUCUUACAACAACCGGCAGUAGCAUCAAGAAACUGAACUAUAUGACAGUAAGGUAAACAAAGCCUGCCACAGUACAGCUUAACUUAAUACAGCAUGUAACAAAGCCUGUAACAGUACAGCUUUCACUUGAUAUGAUCAUAGCUCAUCUAACAGUUUCCAUUCCAAACCCGUCCUCUGCGUUAUGAAUUAUGAAACUUCGCAAAAUGCCAACAGUAACCUCAAAGUAAGACCUAAAGCGCGCACAGGUAGCCAUCUCUAAACUUCGCAAAAUGCCAACAGUAACCUCUCGUUUUGCUAUAGUUUAAACUUGUAACUCCAAGACUAAUUAAACCUACAUGCCAACACAAUCGGAGCAACCAAAUACACGACCAGCAAGGAUCCAUUCAAGGCAACAAGAAUCUCUAGCACCACAUGCGAAAACUUAGGGGAAAAAAACACUUCCCUCCACUGGUUAAGUUAUUACACAGACUAAAAAUGAGAGAUCUCGAGGACUCGCAGGAGCGGCGACUGUCCGUACCAGCUGACGCGAGCGGCGAGAGGAACAGGAGCACCAGGAGGAGAGCGAAACCGGUCGUCCUCCGCGGCCGCGUGGGAGAGCCCAUCGAAGCAGCCUGCCCGCUGGCCAGCCGGCGGCUGUGCUGCGGCGACGAGGGGGAACGGCCGGUCGGCGAAUCGAUGCGCUUCGGCGUCGUUGUCUGUGACUCUACCACCGUACAAGUCAACAGGCUCCUCCCCCGUUCGAGCAAUGGGCCGGAUGCGGCGGGAAGCCCAACAGAAAAAGACGGCCAGACCCAGCCGUUGCGUUUGUGUUGGAGAAAAGAGGCAGAAGCGUUAGUGCCACCUCGGCUACCGAGAGCGGAGCGCGGAGGGAGCGAGAUAUAAAAGAAGGGGCAGGACACCAGGGCAACUCAUACCUUUCUCGGCCUUUUGGCUAAGAUCAAGUGUAGUAUCUGUUCUUAUCAGUUUAAUAUCUGAUAUGUGGGCUAUGUGCCCACUUCGAUAUUAAAUUAUUUUUCGUGGGGGAGGACCCGUUACAGUGGCUUGCUACUGGGCCCCUCAAGUGUCGUCCAGCCGUUGCACUGCUGGCAGGGUCUGGCGCACCCCAACCAAAACAAUGCAAAACGUUGUUUCUUAAACUCUGGUUCUGGGCUUAGUCGGGUUUGUUACUGGGCCAGAGUUCGUUUUUUCUGUCAAUGGGCUUCAAAGAGAUUGAUUAUCUGGAAUUGAAAGCGAGAGUUUGAUUUCAUUAGCUGCAUUAGCACGGUGGUUACUUGUGCUAAUUCAGCAAAACACUAGCAAAAUAAUACUCCCUCAAACUUAUUUCAAGAAUCUUGGUCAAAUUUAUAUGAUAAAAUAAUUAUUAUUAUGAUACCAACUAAGUAUCAUUAGAUUGUUAAUUAUAUGAUACCAACUAAGUAUCAUUAGAUUUUUUUCUUAAUUAUAUUUUUAGAUUCUUAAUUAUAUGAUAUCAACUAAGUAUCAUUAGAUUUUUUCUUAAUUAUAUUUUUAUAAUAUACUCACUUUACGUUAUAAAUCUUAGUAUUUUUCUCUAUAAAUUUGGUCAAAUAUGAAAAUACUUUGACUCUCUAAGAUUCUUGUAAUGACUUACCAUUUGGAAUGGAGAAAGUAUUAUCCAACGGCAAAGUUUAUACACCCAGUCUGAGCAACGUUGAUCAAUGAACCAGCUUAUCUGUGUAUUUAAACACAUCUCACCCUUUUGCUCUAAUCUUUUUCGCAGCACGCGCGCAGAGUGGCCGAGCCGUAUGCUCUUGAGCUCAUAUCUUGCACAGUAUGAUAGAUAAAUAUAUAUGUCACACCGACACAGUAUUAUUAUUGCACAAGAUAGAAAUUAUACAAAUUAGAAUACAAAGAAGAGGAAGGAACUAAUAAUAAUAAGAAGAAAUUUCCCUCAAGGUGCACCGCAGGUACCGCCAAACUUGAACAGUGGACACAGAAUCAACUCCGGUCAGUGAUAUCCACCGUUGACGAACGCGGUUAGCCAAUCUGCAUUGAGAGACGUAAUAACAAAAGGCAGAGCCGGCCCGCUAACUGCUCGGUUGAUCCUGAUCCACUUCAUGAGGUGGUGGGGUGGGGCCCAAGAGCGGCUCCAAGUCAGUCAUGGCCAUCUUAUCCAGUGGGUCCAGCCAGACGCCACGCACGUACUACUCCUCCUUUUGUUGCGCCAGCGAUGGGUCCCACGGGGACGAGCUGUCAGAUACUAGCACACUGCCGGAGCGUGAUGACCUAUGCUCUCUGUCUCUUGGAUGAUUUCUCGCUCGUUCUGCUCCCAUGGCCAUCCAUGAAGAUCUGGCCCCACCCUACACGGCUACAUCUACACGGAGAAAACCUUGGUUUGUUCAGGCCGCGCUCAGUAGGCGACACGGCCGCCGCCGGCGGCUCGCCGGCUGCCCCGCACGGUGGCGGUACCGGCACCGGCACCCUCGCCGUUGCUGAGGGCGUCCUCGUCCAUGAAGAUCUGCCUGCACCGGCACUCCACGCUGCAGAACGCCCGGUCGCCUCUGCAUGCACAUCAUCACAUAUACACCGCCAGUCAAACACACGUACGGAGUACUUGUACAAAACAAAUUAAAACAAAGGCUGGCGCGCGAUCGAGAGACGGGCGCGGAGCGGAGCACAGCCUACUGCCUACCUGUACAUGUUGAUGUCCAUGCCCUCGGCGAGCUCUGCGUGGCACAGGCAGCAGCGCUGCAGGAAGGAGCCCGCGGCCGUCGGAGAGACAGGCGGAACCCGCUGCGGCGGCUGCUGCUUGUGGUUGUGGCUGGGGCCGUGGAUCACGAGGGUGGCCUUGCUGAUGAUCUGCGCCGCCGCCGCUGCCUUCCCCUUCCCGCAGGGGUGGCUCUUGCUGUGGGGCUCCAGGAGAACGCUCAGCCCGGCCAUGGAGCCAGCCAGAAGCGGCCCAGAGCAGAGUAAGACUAGCACCUACUAGUAGAUACAGCUGCUGUGGAUUGGAUGCAGGAUAGAUGCUCGAUCUAGCCUGUUUUUUUUUUCUUGGUUUCAAGAUCUCUGCUGUCUUCCUCGGAUCCUUUUGUGUGUGACGGAGAUAUUUUACUCCAUGGAAGGGGGGGUUGCCUGGUGCGCGCGUGUGUGUAUAUAUAAAGGCCGGAGGAAAGAGGAGGGUGUGCGUGGCAGCGUGGGGAGUGCUGCGUUGCACUUAGGAUUGAAAACGGAUAUGAUACGAAUGAAUAUGACCGGUAUUAUAUUUGUUUUUGUAUUUUUGGUUGGAUUUGGAUUCAAAUACAGAUAAUGUCAAUCAUAUCGGAUAAGGUAGGAUUAGAUGUCAAUAUUAUAAAUAUGUGAUUUAAGUAUUCGGAUACGGAUAUGGAUACGGUAUCGGAUGUUGAAUAUUCGGACUCGAAUACGGACAUAUCUAAAUCCCUCAAAACGAAUUUAGUAUAUCCAUACUGUUUUCAUCUCUUGCGCUUAGGCCGAGCAGGGUUAGCACUUAGCAGGCAGAUUUUGAUUGGAGAGUGAGUUCGCCGAUGCACCCCUAACACGACUAGCAACGUGUAAUAACACCUUAAAUAUUCCAUUGGGACUGUCCACACUAGUCCAUUAGUUAGUAAUCUCAACAGCUAAUCACAGUGGAGCUCCAUGGCUGCACACACUCAGCUCAGACCGUAGGUGUUCCAAAUGGUCCAGGCGUUCGCACAUCCAUUGCCAUGCAUGCACUGAUGAUGAUGCACACCAGGGCAAACAAUGAUCGACGCAUGGGGGCAAGCACCGUCCGAGCAGCAGGCAAAGGCUGCGGCCCGCGAAAGCUGCCCUGCUUGGCCCGCGAGUACUGCACAGUCAGUGACGUUCAAGGCUUCUUCCCGCUCUCCUCCCUCCACGUGUAGGUGACAGGACACUGUUGUCGCUUGUGGCGUGGCGUACGGAUCCACUGCUCCCGCAUGUGCUGUGGCCAGCCGUGCCCCCCUGCCCUCGGCCCCUAGCUGUUUGGUUCAAUGCUUCUGCCACGACCAUAGGACACUCAUCCGUAUGGUUUUUAGAUUUAGCCUUGUUUAGUUUCGAAAAGUGAAAAAUUUUCAGUACUGUAGCACUUUCGUUUGUUUGUGACAAAUAUUAUCCAAUUAUGGACUAACUAGGAUCAAAAGAUUCGUCUCGUGAUUUACAGCUAAACUGUGUAAUUAGUUUUUGUUUUCGUCUAUAUUUAAUGUUUCAUACAUGUGCCACAAGAUUCGAUGUGACGGAGAAUCUUGAAAACUUUUUGGUUUUCAGGGUGAACUAAACAAGGCCUUAGGGCUUGUUUAGAUGCAAAAUUUUUUGGAUUUUGACACUGUAGUAUUUUUGUUUUUAUUUGACAAACAUUGUCCAAUUAUGGAGUAACUAGACUUAAAAGAUUCGUCUCACGAUUUACAGACAAACUGUGUAAUUAGUUUUUAUUUUUAUCUAUAUUUAAUACUCCAUGCAUUUGUCGCAAGAUUCGAUAUGAUGGAAAAUCUUGUAAAGUUUUAGGUUUUUGGAUGCAUCUAAACAAGGCCUUAGGAGUACUCCUCUUCAGAUCGUUGUGCUACAUAUGCAUUACUCCUAAGACGAGUAUCCCAAUCAGGGCGAGUUCUCUGGCGUCUUUUGAAAUGAGAUGCACCAACCGUACGCUUCUAGCUGCAAAGCCAUGUGAUGAGGUCGUGGGGAAUCCAGGGGCAAUAAUACCAACAAAUUUUACAUGAAAAGAAAGAAAGAAAGACCUACUGGUCUCCGUCCACGAAAAAGAUACAUAAUUUUUACUAUGUAUGUAAACAUAACGUAUAGCAAAACAACUAGAAAAAUCAAAACAAUUUAGAAUUUGGAAUAGAGAGUAGGUCCUGGGUGCUUGAAAUACCCCUACAAAUUAAAGGUUGCACUCCAUAAUGCUCUUAGCGCUCCACACAUGACUGACGUUUCUAGGUAUAAAAAAACUUUGUAAAGCAAAAACUGUUAUAUGAUGAAAUGAGCGGUGUCUUGCUGUUUUGUUAAAAAUAGAAACGCCCAAUGCUGGCCUGUAAAUACAGUAUACACGAGUUUCCAAACAUCAGGCAGGAAUGGACAUAUAAUCUCUCACACAAUAAGGGUCUGUUUAGAUCCCAAAUCUUUACAUCCCAAAACUUUUGGCUGUAAACUUUACAUUCAAAUAGAUGUUUAGAUGCUUCUUAAUUUUUUUGGUCAACAAGACACAUGACACGGGUCCCUAAGCAAGUUUACACAGUUUUGGGGCUCCAAGGUCCCAAAUUCCAAAUCUUUACAGCUAAGUUUUACAAGCCUCUGUUUAGAUCAAUUCUUUCAAAAAGUGCUCAUUUCUUCAAAAAUUUUAGCUGUUUGGCUGCAUCUAAACAGGCCCUAAGCGUAGAGAGACGAGGCGGAAAAAACGAAACUUUUGAGAAAAAAAAAAACCAAACUAGUAGGGGGGCAGGACAAGAAGCGCAGCAGACGGGGCUACGGAGUUGGGUGGGCGCAGAGUGGUCGGGGGAUGCCGCAGCAGAAGCUGGUGCCCUCCAGCCCGCUGAAAGCGAAGGAGCGUACGGGAACGGGGACUACGGGCCACGCCCGUCUAGGCGUUUGGUGCGCGAGCUUACUGUUUCGACGUGGCGCUAUUAUCCAGAGGCCGGAGCCCCACAGCCCAUUGCAGAGACCAUGGUAAGGCGUAGCGUAGGACGGUAGGAGUAUCGGCGAAGGUUGUGUAUCGGUAUCGCAGCAUAAUUCAUUCAAGUUACAAUUUACCCAUUCAUGUUACAAUGUACAUAAAAACAUUGAUGUGCUUAAGCCUUGUUUAGUUGGUAAUUUUUUUUAGAUUCUAACACUGUAGCACUUUCGUUUAUAUUUAGUAAUUAUUAUUCAAAUAAUAGACUAAGUAGUCUCAAAAAAUUCAUCUCACAAAUUACAGAUUACAAAUAAACUAUGUAAUUAGUCAUUUUUUUUAUUUAUAUUUAAUACUUCAUGCAUAUGUUUAAAAAUUUGAUGUGACAGGAAUCUUGAAAAUUUUUUAGAACUAAACAAGACCUUAUUACUGUAAAGCACAGAACGUAAACACACAAUGUCAAUGACAACAUACACGCACGCACUCGCACACACUGACACACACUUGUUGGCAUUUUGCCCUCAACAACACCCUCAAAAAGCCUCAGGCAGGCACUAGCAGAGCAAGUGCCAAGACCCAAGCUAACGACCUCUACUUGUUAGUUGUUCCAUCACAUAACGAUUGACAUGGUAUACCAAAAAACCAAGCACACUCUGAAGAAAGGAAACGUGGCCUUCACAUUCCAGAUAGGUCCAGUGGAAAGGGAAGAAAGCCAGAAUUAUGGCGUCUUCACCAAACUUCAGGAUAAAAAAAAAAGAAAAGAAAACAAACAAUGCACAGUUUUCUUGAUUCAAAGAGUUGACAAACUGGUGAAAAACAUGUUACAAACACCAAACAAGGACCAACAUCUACGAGGAAAUACUGAAUGGUCACAGGCACAACUCAACUGACCCAGCAAGAAGACGUGGGAAAUUAAUUUAAUUGGGCCUUGCUUUGGUAAUAAUGACAAUAAAAAUGUCACCAGAUCGUUCCAUUAGAAAGAUUUGAUGCUUCGUGGUGCAGAUUGCAGAACGUCCAGAAGCUGCUUCUGUACCUGCUCAGUUUGACUCCCUCUGAAUACAAAUCCAGCUCGCCCUGUACAGGGUUUUGCAAAGAGAUGAGAAAAUGUUAGUGCUUGAAAUUGUUUUUUCCAAGAGACUAGCAUUUCUUGUUGCAAAGAUAUUAGCAUAACAGCAUGUAACAAAACCAGACCUGUUCCUCAGCUUUUCUCACAGAAAUCUUCCUGGUGGCCAUCAUUCUUCCAUUCAGUUUCAUCAUCUGCUUCUCCUGUGGCAUCAUUUUCAGCAUCACUUUCGCUAGCUGUUUCCCACUCAGAGUCAUCAGCCUCUUGACCAAACGCAUCGCUCGCAUCUCCUUCACAAUGGACACCACCAUGCUUCAGAGCUGCUUCCCUGAAUAGCCAAGCGGCACGCAUCUGCUUCUUCACCAAUCGCUCAGCAUAAUCAGGAACUUUGUUUUGCUUCAGGGAUAAGUCAGGAUCGUUUGACUGAGAGCACUCGUUUAUGAAAAGGAUUGCAUCCAACAAGCUCUCUUUUGCAAAACCAAGCAUAUCGUAUGCUUGAGCUCUUCUCCACAAACUCUUGGCAUGACGAUUCACAGGGCUAUGAAGGCACAAUGCUCGAGUAGCAUCGCUUAUGGCAGCCAAUGGCUGCUGCAGGAGAAGGUAACAUUGAGCUCGAUUGCUGUAUAGAACCACCCGCUCUUUCUUAGACUUCAUUGGACAUAGUGCAAGUGCUUCAGAGUAUUUCUCUGCAGCACCUGCAAUGUUCCCUGAAGAGAACAGCGAAUUGCCUUCCAACUUGACUACCAAUGCUGCAGCUUGUUUUAUAUGAAGAUCCUCCUUUGGCAUACUCUUUUCCAAUUUCAAACUUUGCUUGGAUCUCAAAAGCUCAUCAAUUUCUGCUUUGGUUUGAGCACUGAUUGCACCGCGUGAGUUCCCACUCUGUUGCAUACAUUCUUGGAGGACUGUGACAAUUGUGUCACCAAGUUUUUUAUAAUCACCCAGUGUCGAAAUAUCUGCUAAGUCUAUCAGUGUUGGCGCAACUUUAUCUAUAACCUGCACAAAGGGAGGAAAAAAAUAAGCAACUAGAGCUAAGAAAACUACAGUUAAUAGAUAGAGCUCCGCUAACUGAAUUGGGAUUGAACCAGAAAAAAAAAAACAUAUGUAUGCAUUCUAGCUCAAUGCUAUUUAAGGAAACCAUUGCAUAAUUACUCUUGAAACAUUCAAUUAGGAGGAAUUAAUUAUCCUGACCUGGUGUUUCAAAGAUUAGAUUAAUAUUCUUAUUUACUGUUUAUGAGGAACUCUGUUAUUUCUAUUCUGUUCUAGCCAUCAUUUCUAAGCUGAUGUGCAUAUUUCAAGCCUUAUCAGGCCUUAAACAUAACCAAUUUAAGCAAGCAAAAUGCAUUUCCCAAGAUCUUACCUUCUGACAGGUACUUGCAUCCUGCACUAACCAGAUCAGACAAUCAACUGCCAUGUAUUGCCAGUCAUCUGAAGAACGAGCAAUGUUACAUAAAGCAUCAAUAGUACCAGGAAUGUUAGCAACAUGACCUCGGCCAACUUUGCUCUGGCAGAUUGUUCUUAGCAAACCAACACCAGCAGGCGAGUUCUCAUUUACAAGUCCACCCCACAUUCCAGGUAACUUAACUAGAAAAUCGGGCUUACAAAUAUCAUGGAGGAAUUCAGGCUUAAAUGCAAAGCAGUUAAUGAGUUGCAAAGACCAGCACUGCAGUUGACUUGCCCAUUCCUCAGCUUUGCGGGAUUCCAUUUCCACACCACCCAUGCCACGAGUAAGAAGGUCGCAAUGGUAGCCAAGCCUUCGAUCCACAAAUUGGUAAAAGUGAGAGUACACAAUCUCUAGGGAGCUCGAAGCAAGUUGAAUGGCAAGUUCAAGUACUUCCCCAUGAUCAGCAACUGCAGGAAAUGUACUAGGAUAUGUAGCCAAAUGCCCCAAAGCUCUAACGGCAACUCUUUGCUCAACCCACGUCAGCCUACCUCUUAACAGUUCGACUAAUGGAGGUAUUACACCAGCACGAACAGCACGCUCUGCAAACUCCUCCAUAUUCAUUGUGUAUGAUCCAAUUAUGUGAGCUGCAUAAUAUGGGAUGUAAAUAUUUUGAUCAUGUGCAAGCCAACGCCUGUUUUUCAACCCUUUCCAUAUAAGAGCUGCCAUGCAUUCAAAUAUGCCCAAGUUGAUGAACUCGGGAUCAUUUGGGUGAGCCAUUGCUGUGUUCCAGAGACCACUAAUAGGGAGAACUUGACCAUCAUCAUCUUGGGAAGGAAGUUCCCUAAAGAACUUUAGCACACUUGCUCUUCGUUUACUUGGGUUUGCCUCCUUCAUGACACAAAAGAAACAUCCAGGAUAAGGGCAAUCAGAUUGUAUCUUGUCCAUUAUGGGAAGGGCAGCCAAUCGAUUCUAGACACUUCUUCAAUGACAACCUCAAUGAUCACACUUCAAACUGCAUCAGAACCAACCAAGCAAAUUAAAAAUUCUCCAAUGAACAAAUUAAAGGACAACAGGACGCAUUGUCAAUGUAGGAAACUAAUUGCAAGAAUAAGCAAACAACUAUGCCAUUUCAUGAAGUGUAUUCUUCCUAUAAGUAUCUGCUAACUUGGGGAGGGCCAGACUACAUAAAAGCGGUGAGUACAUCUGCUUGGUAACCAUCGGGAAGCAGAUCUGGAGCACAAGAAGCGUCUUCAGCAAAAUCAGGCAAGCACUAGAGUGUUGAGACUUCAGUGACUGAAUGACCAUACCAAAUUAUGAAAAAAAAAUGCAUAUAUCUCAAGAGAUGAUAAUAAGAUGUAUAAUUAAUUAAAUUAUUUAGACCAUCUGACUGAUGAUACUAGUGAAUAGAUCAACCUAAUUUGUUUGCUAUUUUAUUAACACUGGUUUAAGUUCUUAAAUAAGAAGCAGGAAUUUUCAAAAUAAAAUCAUCGAGUAUGCAUUUGUAGAAACUAACAUAACCAAAACAGAAAUCCAACCAGUUCACUAGGUUUUGUUGGUUUCAGGAACAUGGAAAAUGGGCAGUGGAUUCAACACUCAGGAAAGGGAUCCACCGACUUAAAAAAGUGAAGUGGUAGACACCAUCAGUCUAAGCUUCUCAUUCUCCGUCCCUCACUUUCAAAUUGCAUCUAGAGUUGGAAUAGAUCAAACUGAAGAGCGAGCUAUCAGCUGAAAUUUUGAGCCCAUCAUCCGAAAAUUUGAACUCGCAGCUUGAAAUUUCGAAAGCCUUGAGCGAGUAUCUGGAACUUGUAGCCACGGAAAGGAGCUCCAAAUAAUCGGAUAGCUGGAGACGGGGCUCAGCUGGAGAUUUGAAAAUCCCAGCCGCAAGCUGAACCUCAGGAGCUACCAAUCUAAACUAUGCACAGCGAAAAAUGGCACCUUACCAGCGCAUUCCAACGUGGCGGGACGCCUCCGUACGGCAAUGGUGGCGGUCGGCGCCGCUGGCCCGGGCGGCGCACGCGCUCGGUGGGGCGCCGGGGCAGUGCGGGGGCGGGGGCGGCGGCGGCGGCGGCCAAGCUAGGGUUUGGCGAGGGCGCGCGCG